GGCAAUUUUCCCACCCUGUAACCAAACUCAUCAGCCAACUCAUCCACAUUCUUGACUCUACCAACCGGAAUCAGCUCACUUUUCUCCAAAUUUACUCUUAACCCCGAAAUUGCCUCAAACCACAUUAACAACCAGCCCAUAUACAAUAACUGCUCCUCCUUUGCUUCACAAAAUAUCAGUGUAUCAUCAGCAAACAACAAGUGUGAUAUCUGGACCCCUUCGCCUCUUCUUCCCCGAAUCAAACAAGGCGCCAAAAACCCCCCAUCCACUACCUUUUUUAUCAAAACACUGAAAGCCUCCAUCACCACUACAAAAAGGUACGGCGACAAAGGGUCUCCUUGCCUUAACCCCCUUGAACUUUGGAAAAAACCCGUAGGACUUCCAUUCACCAUAACUGAGUACCUAACAGUGGAUAGACACCACUUUAUCCACCUGCACCAUCUUUCCCCAAACCCCAUCUUCUCCAUCACUGCUAAAAGAAAAUCCCAAUCCACAUGAUCAUAGGCUUUCUCAAUGUCUAAUUUACAGAGAAUCGCCCCUCUAUUGCUUUUCACAAUGGAGUCAAUUGCCUCAUUAGCGACCAGCACUGCAUCCAUAAUCUGCCGUCCCUCCACGAAAGCAUUUUGGGCCGUUGAGAUGACCUUGGCUAAAACACCCUUCAUUCUAUUAGCCAACGUCUUAGCUAGCCACUUAUAUAACCCUCCCACCAAGCUAAUUGGCCUAUAAUCCUUCAAAUCUUCUGCCCCCCCUUUCUUUGGAAUCAAGACUAGGAACGUUGCAUUCAAACUUCUUACAAAGCUCCCGGUCUCAUGGAAUUGCCUAAAGAAGUUCAUGACCUCUUCUUUAACAAAUUCCCACGAAAAUUGCCAAAAAGCCAUUGAAAAACCGUCAGGGCCUGGCGCUUUCUCACCACAACAGCUUGACAAAGCCCUAAAAACCUCCUCCUCCGUGAAAGGCUUCUCCAGCCCCUCCACAUCCCCCUCUUCCAACCUUUCAAACGUCAAAGCGUCUAUCCUGGGCUUCCACCCCCCCGGGUCUGCCAGCAGCCCCUGGUACGCCCUGCACACCGCCUCUUUGAUCUCCCUUUCCUCAUUGUACCAUCUCCCGUUCACUUUGACUCUAUUCAUCUGAUUCCUUCUUCUAUGAGCAUUAGCCAUCUGAUGAAAAAACCUAGUGUUUCUAUCCCCCUCUUUCAGCCAAAUUUCCCUGGACUUCUGCCUCCAUGACGUUUCUUCUAAAAGGACCCACUUCUUAUACAUCUCUCUUGCCUCCUUCCUAGCUUCUUCCUCUUCCAAGGACAAUUCGCGGACCCUCUCUUCCUUGUCCCAGAAAUCCAAAGAAUUCCAAGCCUCUUGCUUCUUAACCUUAAUCUGUCCGAACACCUCUGUGUUCCAUUUUUUCAGAGUCGGCUUUAAAGCCUUUAAUUUCUCGCUCAAGAUGUAACUGGCUGUCCCACUAAUCUGAAUCUCCUCCCACCAUCUCCUCAGCACCUCUUUGAAGCCUUCCUCCUUCAGCCACAUGUUCUCGAAUCUGAAAGGUGUGGGCCCUCUCGUCAUCCCCCCUCCAUCAAGAAUAAUUGGAGAAUGAUCUGAUACUGGUCUAGCCAAAACACCUUGAAUACACUCCCGGAAAUGAGCUUCCCAAUCUUCAGAGAUAAGAAACCGGUCGAUUCUCGAUUUUAAGAGAUUAUUAAAACCUCCACUCCACGUGAACAUCCCCCCCUGAAGGGGUAAAUCCCUUAACUCUAACUCCUCUAUCACUUCUGUAAACCUCCUCAUUGAUGGGGACAAGCGACCUCCUCGGCUCCGUUCAGUAGGAAAUCUUAUCAUGUUGAAGUCGCCAGCAACACACCACGGAUCGUUCCACAGCCCUUUGAUGGCCCCCAAUUCGCUCAGAAACUCCUCUUUCUCCACCUUCACAGAGGGUCCGUAAACUCCUGAAAAAACCCAGCAAAAACCAUCCUCAACAUUCUUGAACCGGCAGGAAAUUGAAUAAUUGCCCACCUCCAUUUCCUCCAGCUGCAGCACCCUAUUGUCCCAGAACACCACCACCCCCCCCGCCGCACCCCUUGAAUUUAAAGCCCCCCAUUCCAGACAUCUUCCUACCCCUAAACUCCUCACAAUUGCACUCGUCAUCUCCUGUAAUUUUGUUUCCUGGAGACACACUAAAUCUGCUUUCUGGGUUUUAAUCACAUCUUUAAUCAAUUUCCUCUUUUCUCUGUCAUUUGCCCCCCUUACAUUCCAUGACACAAUUCGAAUCCUCAUGUAACACACUCUUGAUGCUCCCUGUCCCCUCCUGACCCACUAUAAUUCACCGACCAUUCUAGUUUCUUCAACUCGCGGUCAAAUCUUGAGGUUCUCUGUCCUUUCCUCUUUUUUCCGCUUAGAUUCUCACUUCUAUCUCUUCUAUCCCUCAUCUUAUGGAGAAGUUUCAGAAUUUCCCUCUCACAGCCCUCUGUUGGCAUCCCCAAACAAUGGCAAAACUUUGCCAAACAGCUGUAACUCCACGAUUCCAUAUUCUUUUCCGCUUCCUCGCCCCAUUCCUUCCUUCCAUCUAUUUGCGGGAAAAACCCGCUCGUACUCCUCUCUACCAUUCUCUCUUCUGCCUGACGCAUGCUUAGAGGGCUGAUACUUAACCCCUCUUCGGCUUCCUUCAGAACGACCUCACAGCCACAUCUCUCCUCCAUCUCAAGCAAAGAGCCCCCCAACCCAGAGAAAGGAGAAGAAGAAGAAGAGGCCCGACCCCCCCACACGCAAACAGUCGAAGAUUUUAAGAGGGAAUACCUGGAGGCUUCCUCCAAGAAGCAUUCGUCCGUUAUUGAGCAACGCUCAGGUGUCCCUAUCGCCGCUGCUGGCCCCAUCCCACCGAUCAGACUGUCUUCAGCGAAAAAUUCCUCAGCUGGCUCAAGGCACGACGAAGCCCUAGCAUUUACGCUGAGCUCAUCCCAGGGGGAUUUAUAAGCAGACGGGGCCCAAACUGAAGCUAGGAUGGGCUGCCCCUCUCCUCCUGCCACUCUGGAUCUGUGUUCCAACCGGCCCAGCCUAUCCUUUUGAAAAGAAGAUGGACCAUCAUCUUGCCCAUCCUUCUCUACCACUUUGGGCCUAUUGUCCAAAAGACCCAGCCCAUCCCGUUGUAAUAAAGGGAUAUCCACCCUUGAAGCCCACUUCUCACCCCUAUUGUCCAUCUGGCCCAAAAACUUUUUUUUUACACUUAAAGGACCUUCAUGAGCAGCCCAUUCCCCACCUCUGCUUGACUGGCCCUUUUCCCAACGAGCCCUUGACCCAUUUAUAACCUUUUGAUUUUCUACCCACACCUCAGUACUCUCAUGCUCCAGCCUUUGACAAUUACUGGGUUGGGUCACUUCGCACCCACACUUGCAGCUAUCAAGCCCUUCCACACCGUCUUUUUCACUUGAGCCCACCUCUCCUUCCUUCUUGCUAUAUCCUGCCAACCCUUCAACUGAAACUCCUAUCUUGUCACCAUCACACUUUUCUUUUCCCUUUCUUUUUCUGACUGCACCUGAUCCAUCAGCUCCAGCUGCACGCCAUCCUUCCUUUUCCUUCCCACCGCUGUUCCCGGCGCGUGACUGCUCAUCCCCUUUUUCCCUCAUCCUUUCUCCCUCUUUCCUUCUCAGAUUCAUCAUCGGCUCCACUGCAGAAACUCUAGGCUGCACCUCCCACCACAGGCGGACUGCAUAGCAGAAGGACUUCACCACUAGAUUCAAAGUUCCUGGAAAAAAAUUUCCGUUAUUCUUUACCAAAAUCCUGGCCCAUUGAAGUUGAGAAAGAUUCUUUGUAGCUUCAUCCACCCCCACCAAACCUCCACAGCAAUCACCAAUACUUUUAAACAUUUCUUCACUCCAGCAGUGUAGUGGGAGGCCCACCACCCUUACCCAUACUUCUUUUGUUUGAUUUCCAUCCCGUAAACACCCAGCCUCCUCAUUCCAUCUCUCUAAAUGCAGCAGCCUAUCCUUAAAUCUACGCGUCCCCCUGUUUAAUACCCUCUCUGCUUCCCCUUCAUCUUCAAAUUCCAACAAGAAGAAAGGUUCUCCCAUCUUCAUCACCUUAACACCUUUCCUAAGAUUCCAGCUGCGUUUCCCCCAGUUUUUAAGCGAAUCUAACUCCAUCUCCAUCACUGCCCCUUCCCACCUACCAACUAGGCAACGCCCCAAAACUUCCUCCCUUCUCCUCAAUCCCCUGCCUCCUACCUGGAGCCACAACUCUUCGCCUACCCUUCCAGCCGGUCCUUUAGCCACAUCUAGGAAGCUUCUUAUCUCCCCCUGCUUCUUCUUCCCACUGCACCUUUCUUCCUCAUCAUCUAUUGUUGCAUCCUUCUUUUUUGAACUGAUUUGAGUUGCUUCUACACCUUUGUCAUCCUUUUUGGUUACUAUCCCCAAUGCCCUUAGCUUCACGGCUAGAAUGGCCCAACCUCCUAUCACGCCCUUUCCUUCAGGAAAGACUAAACAGAAUCUUUUAGCCUCUACGUCCACAACAGAGCAUAAGACGUAUCUUCCUGCCCCGUUUACACGCCUCUCCAGCCGGAACUUUCUUCCCUCUUCCUCCCAGACUUUAACCAAUCUUCCUUUCUUUUCCUCCCUACAGCAUUCUUCAAAGCAUUCCAGUAGCUUCCUCAAGCCUGAUGCCCCAAACCUAAUCCAAGAGGAAAAGCCUCUACUCCUUUCCACAAUGAUACCUUUUAGUUUCCCUUUGAUUUCCUCUAUAGACACUUCAAACGUCUUCGAUUCAAUCGCUACCCAAAACUUUGCCAUAACUAGACUCGAACACUAUCCAAGACUUCAAUCUUUCCAUGCUAGGCUAUCCUCUCCAUCCCCGGCCUUAGUCUCAUCCACAAGUAGAACUGACAUACAUUUUGCUAUUGGCAAACAGAGGAAGCCUCUACGUUGUGUAUACCUUUUCUUUUAAUACAAUUGCCUUUAUCUUUCAAAAAAGCAUGUAGUGGGUCUAAUUCUAGUAUUAGGCCAUUUUUUUAACCUAAAUUAGCUUGACAUUGAAAUUGCAAGAAAGCCUUAAAGUCCACUCAAAACAAACUUAUCAAUAGACAAUGGUGUCUAUUGGUUGAGAGCUGGUAUGUAUACUUUUCUACCACUCAACAGCAUAAUUCUAAUAACAUCUAAGCCAUAAAUAAUAACAAUAAUAAAGGACAUAUCAUUAAAUAUUUGAAUACCUUCCUCAACAGUGAGUUCAAGUCUUGAGGAUGGGAUUUUGCAAUAUCCCCAAUCUGUCGAGCCGCUGUGAGCCUUGUAGCUUGGGUCGAACCAGCUUAGUUUGGGUUAAAGAAACAUAAAAUGCUAUUGAACCCAUCAACAAAUACACUGAAAAAAAAAAUUAAUCCAACAAAAAACAAAAAGGAUACUGUCCAACAGAGUGAGAAGCCGAUGAAGCCGAGAUGACUGGUGAGACAUAUCGCCUUCUUCAAAUAUAAAUUAUAACAAUAGCAAUUAUCAGCAGCAGCUUCUCUCAUUCGAAACUGAACACUCUUAUUCUUCUGAUAUCCUACAGUGAUAAAUAGUCAAAACCAAUCCAAAUUUCCAGCCCAACAAACACAAAAUAGUAAAAGAAACUCAUAUUUUUCAGCUAUCCAAGGAAAUUGGAUAAAAGAAUGCUAUUUAAUGGACAGCUAUCAAAGAUGAAUGACAAUAAUAGUAAUUAUCGGCUCAGCUUCUCUCAUUCGACAUUGAACACUUCUAAUCUUCCAAACUCAUUACGAGAUAAACGGUCAAAAUCGAAUUAAAGUUUUCACAUUUAUAGUCCGACAAACACGAAACAGUGGGAGAAUCUCAUAAAUUGUGGUUUCUUUAUAGAAAAAGAUGUGUUGCGGCCACAGAUAUCUCUGAAACUUCCCCAACAAAGCCUUUCAUUUUGAAUUUUCUUCCUCUUAAAAUGGUGAUAAUGAAAGCGAGAAAUUGCCAAGUGCUUCGGAUUAAAUGAUGAAGAAGAUGAUGAUGGAGCGGAAGGAGAUGAUGAUGAUGAUUAUGAGAGUUCCAUGCAGUUACCAAGGGGAAGAAGAGCUUACCAGAUUCGGAAGGCUCGUGGGGAUCCUAAAGAAAAAUUUCUUCUUCUUUGUCCUUCGUCUUCUUCGGCAAUUAGGGUUUGCUUCGCUCUGUCUGGGCUUCCAUCGCGAAACAGAGAUUGCCUUUUUGUCCUUGGUUUUGCUGUGGAUCCUCUGCGGUGAUUUGCAUGAGGUCUUACCAUGGGCUGAUUGGUGGGCCCCUUGCGUGCAUAUAUCCAGCAAGAACUAAUUAGAACCCGUUGGGUCUUGAGAACAGUUUUCGAUUCUAAAGCCCAAUCUGAGGCUUCGAGCGGGCUUAGGUAGACUUUUGGGCCGGAAAGACGGAUCGGGCAAGCCCAUUUUCUAAUGCCCAAGGCCCAGCCAUAGAGUUGCAAGCUUUAGCUUUGGGCCAAUUUAAUUUUUUAAAUUUAAAUAUUACUUAAUAAAUUAUGAUUUUAUAAUUACAACACAAGUUUUUAAUAAAUUAUUGUAUCGAAAAUUAUAAUUUUAUAGUUUGUGAAUAUAUUUCUAAGCUUGAAUAAGUUGUUAAUCGGAAUUUAUUGCUUUGAAUUUUUUUAAAUACUUUAGAAAUUAUUAUGGUUUCUCACUUUUUCAUAUGUCUCUAAUAAUUAUUAAACUAUAUAUAAUAAAAUUAAAUUGCAAAUCAUAUAUAUUUGUAUAUCAUUAUUAUUAUUCUAUGUUGCAUUGUUUCCAUAUCUAUUCACAAUUCUCUUUUCUCCUCAAUGUGUUGAGUUUUUAUCAUUACAUUCUUUCAACUAAAAGAAACAUUAGAAGUUGAUCUAUCUUUUGACAAAAUUUUAGUAAGGAAGUUUAUAUUUAGAGGAAAUUGAUAGAUAUUAAGAGUCAUGUAUAGAAUAAAUAGGAUGGUAACAUAUUUAAAACUAUAUACUAAAAUCAUAUCUGCGAAGUAUGAUGAAUUUCACCAUAAUCUUUUGAAUUAUGGUAAGCCUCAUUUGACAACGAUCUUAAUAGCUAAACCAAAACUUUAAGGAAACAUACCCUAAUAAAUAUUAGAUCUACUUAGCUAAUGAAUUUAUUAUAUAAAUUUGAGAAAAAGUUAAUAUUGUAUCAUUAAAACAUUUAAAAAAAUCCCUUAAUAGUGUAAUAUUUAAUCUAUCGUUAUCGGUAUUUGGUUCAAACCAAGAUCAAGAAUCAUUUUCUUGCAAAAUAAUGUAAUACAAUUGUGUUACCUUUUGGUAAGUUGUGUUAAUAUUUAGCAUUCUAUUUAUUGUAUGGCAUUUGGUUGUAACAUCACUAGGAAAAAUCUAUUUGGCAGUGAUUUUAGGAAGUAUUUUGAAACUAAAAAGUAUUUUUGAAAAAAAUUAGAUAUUUAAAAAAGUUUACGAAACAUUUUUAAAAUUUUGAAAAAUCACUUAUAGUGUUUUAUGAAAAAUAUUUUUUGAAAAAACAUUUUUAAAACACUCCCAAAUGCACUUGAAGUCUUCUACAAAAUAAAUGAAUAAUUUUGCAAGUUCUUUUAAAUAAUGAAGUUUUAGUAGCAAAAGAACAAACACAAUAUAUAUAUAUAUAUAUAUAUAUAUAUAUAUAUAUAUAUAUAUAUAUAUAUAUAUAUAAAGCGUUUUUCAAUCUUUCAAUAUAAUUUUCUAUAAAUUAUAAAUAAUUUUGAACAAUUAAAUUUAAGAUAUGUGCAUUUCAAGGUAAUUCUAAACAACCUUGAACGAAUAAAACAAUAAUUUUCUUAUAUUAUGCGUUAUCCAAAGAAAUAGAAAAAACCUAUGAAAGUCAAACUGUAAUUUCAUUUGUGAUACUUUCCCAAUAAAAGUAUCAAAAUAUGGUAAUUUUGUUGUUUGAAAAAGAAAUUAAUCUUUUUUUUUUUUUUACAAUUCCUUCAAAACUUUGAAAAAAAAAUGAAUAAAUUUUGUUUUAUUUUUAAAAUUAUCAUUAUGACUUGUGAUUCUUAAAAAUGCAUGAAUUUGUGAUUACAAAUUGCUUUGUAUAAAUCUUCUACUCUUAGGUUUUCAAAUGCGAUGAAAUCAACAAAUUCUUUAUGCAUAUGAGUGGCAUCAUAUUAAAAAUAGAAAAGUAAUGAUAUUUCAUACCAAAUAGGAAAAAAAAAAAAAAACCAUUCUUAAUACUAUAUAAUUAUGUUCCUCUUAAUUAUGUACAUGUGUUUUAAAACUGUGAAACCCCUUUGAGCCUAAGGUGAAUAUCUACAUGGUUAGUAGUAGGUCGUUACAAAUGGUAUUAAAGUCAAUCCUUAAUUUUGAUAUCAGAAUUUGUUUGGCUUUAUAAGAGAUUUGUUUGUUUCGCUUAGCAAUUCUAUGAGAUACAAUAAAGUAUGUGAUUGAGUUAUGAAUUGUCUCUCAUAUAACAUGUCUCAUCAAAUGUUGGUCUAGAUAAAUAAUUCUUGCCUUUUGAGUCAACGACAAGCUUCAAUAGACAAAUCUUGUACUUUAAUUUUACUACAAUCAUAUCAUCGAUAAUUUUAUAUACUUUCUCAAAAUUUUCCCACAUAGUAUAAAGUUGUUUCUUUAAACCCAAUGCCAUUGAUGAAACACUAAGUUGAUAAGUAGAAACACUUCACCCAUUUUAUUUUUUUGAAUUGAAAAUAAUACAAAAUUUGUGGAGGAGAAAAAUUAUGAAAAAAACAUUAUAAAUAUGUAAAAAUAAGUGAAUAAAUCUAAACAAAUAAUUAAACUAUUAAAAAUAAUAAAAUAUUUUUAUAAAUAAAUUAAACAAAAAAAUGAUAUUAGUAACAAAUAACAAUUAAUCAAAUUUGCACACAAAAAAACGAAUGGUUUUUCCAUAAGCAUAUUCUAAAUUUUGGUUUGGAAAACUUUGUGGUUUUAGAGAUCAAAAGUUAUCUACAAUAACCUUAUGUUCUUCAAAAAGGUUUUGAGAAUAUAAAGAGUUAAACCUCAAAUUUGGAUUUAACACUUCGUUAAGACAUAUGGUUCCAAAUUGAAAGGUUCUAGCUUUAGUGGGUUUUCGUUAAGCCAUGUUCUUGUAAAAUAAAAAAAAUAAAAAAAAAUAAAUUGCAAGUGAAAUGAGAAUAGAAACUUAAUAGAAAUUUCUUUCUUUUUUUAUUACUGAAUGUAGAAAUUUACAAGCGGAAUAUACAAUUGACACUGUGGUUGCUCUCUGAUCACUUACUUCUAACUUUUUUUUUCCUCGCUUUACAACUUAUUUAUAGAUAGAACAUUUACAAUAUGACAAAUACUAAAUUUAAUUAGGGUUGUUGGUAGUUAGAUGACAGACAAAAAUAUUUACAAAGUCUUCAGAGGUUUGGUUGACAAUAAUACAGAGAUGGUAAAAACUUAUGAGAUUUGACUUUUUCAUCCGUCUGAUCACUUCUUCUAAACUUUUCCCAUCAACAUCCAUAAUUAGCUAUUCACAAUCAAGGCAAUGGCAGGAACCUUUAAAUUUUUCGUUCAAAAUCAAAGUUUAAAACCAAAACUAGUGUGAAUGCAUUUAUUCUAUUAUUUUAAAAUAAAACUUUCAAAAUACAAUGUGAAACCAUUUAUUACAUAUUAUUAUAAUAUUUAUUUAAAUUAAAACUUUCAGUUUAUAGUGUGAAAACAUUUAUUACAUGAAAGUUAAGUUUUUGAAGAUUGGCUAUUUCAAAAGUUUAAAGAAUAAACUCAAGAUUUUGAAAUAUCACUUCGUGUCAAGGUGAUACCCCCUUUUGAUAAGACAAAGUCUCCCUAACACGCUAAUUUUAUAACAAAAAUGGGUUACAGGUCAAGGGUUAAGACUAAAGAUUAUAGUUUUAAAACCUGAUUUUACACAAAAAACUUUCAAAAUAAACUGAUCAAUUUUUUUUUUUUUUUUUUUAUUUUGAUGGACACAUUAUAUAUAAAGGAUCUAUAUAUAUUACAGAUAUUAACUAGUAAAAAAAGACUAACUGGAAUAUGAUUCAAAUAAUUUUAAUUUCCCUACUUUACCUUUUUACCCCCUUUACCCCCUAAGGGUAAGAAAAAAGAUACAAAUAAAUUAAAUUGAAAAGGAAAUGAGAAUAUAAAUUUAACAUAAAUUUCUUACUUUUUUAUUGCUGAAUGUAGAAAUUUACAGGCUAAAAAUACAACUGACAAUAUGGUUGCUCUCUAAUCGCUUACUUCUAACUUUUUUUUUCCUCGUUUUACAACUUAUUUAUAGACAAAACAUUUACAAUACGACAAAUACUAAAUUUAAUUGGGAUUGUUGGCCGUUAGAUGACAGGUAAAAAUAUUUACAAAGUCUUCAGAGGUUUGGUUGACAAUAAAUAUAGAGAUGGUAAAGACUUAUGAGAUUUGACUUUUCCAUCCGUCUGGUCACUUCUUCUUUGUUUGUUUCUUCUUUUCAUCACAUGGCUUGGUACGUAGCUUUAUUGAUUUUGAACUUCUAUUGCUGCAUUAAAUCCUUUGUAGUUGGAGACGCAUUUACUAUUUCAAUGUUGUCAUUGCUGACAUCAAUGUUUCAUUGCAUUUUAUAGAUUAUAAUAACUUUCAUCGUCAAGAUUUUCCCAAAAUGAUGCGUCAUCAUUGAGGUAAGAAGAUGGUUCUGGUAUUUCUACACUGAGUUCAAUUAUAAAAUCUUGUUCUUGAGGAGUAAUAAGAGGUUUUGGAACAAUAAUGUGCUCUAAAGGUUUGUUUCUCCAUAUGGACAUGGUUUUUGUUUCUCCAAUGAGAUGAAAUAAUUUAUUUCGGGUUGGUCUAAGAUCAUAAAUUUGAAGGGCUCUAAAACAAGUAAAAAAAAUUGGAAAUUCAUUUGGACAGGUCAUUUCCCAUUCUGGUUCUUGUUGAGGAAUCAAUGGUUCUUUAUUGUAUUUUAUAUAAACAUGGUGAUAGACUGGCACUACUGAUUCAUCGGUUUGAAAUAAAGGUGGAAUGGUUUCAAAAGAAAUGUCUAUCCGUUUUUCAGUUUUGAAGAGAUAGGUUAUAGUAUCUUUUAAUUUUUCUAGGAAAUUUUUAAGGAUUUGAAAUACAUGGUUCAUAAAAAUAUUUUUAAAAAUUCUUUGAUCCAUGAACUGGGAUACUAAACCAAAAAUUUCUUUAUUUACAACAGACAUAUUCACAUAAGCUAAAUAUAUAACAAAGAAAAAUUCAAGGUCAUGAUAUGCCAUAUACCUUGUUUUUAUCCCAACAUUUUUGGUUCUAAAAUGUUUGUACAAAAGUUCUUGAUUUUUAAACACUUUGUUAUAUUGUGUUUUCAGAAAGAAGGUUUCGACUAAAAGGUAAUUAUUAGCUCCAAUUAAGUUUUUAACAAGAAGUUUUUCAUAUUGUUUAGACACAAGAGCUGAUUUCUUAAUUAAACUAAGAAUUUUAGGUUGACUAUUUGAACAACUGGUUUGACUAGUUGACAUUGUACUGGUUUUCAAAUCCUUUAUCAAUCUUUCUUGAUUUUCUUAGAUUUUGAGGUUUUGAAAUUUUUGGGUUUCUAAAGCAAUCAGUUGGUUUUGAAGGUUUUGUAAAUGUUGGGCUAAAGUUGACACGGUUUUUCCAUAAGCAUAUUCUAAAUUUUGGUUUGGAAAAAUUUGUGGUUUUAGAGACCAAAAGUUAUCUAUAACAACCUUAUGUUCUUCAAAAAGGUUUUGAGAAUAUAAAGAGUUAAACCUCAAAUUUGGAUUCAACACUUCAUUUAGACAUAUGGUUCCAAAUUGAAAGGUUCUAGCUUUAGUUGGUUUUCUUUGAGCCAUGUUCCUGUAAAAUAAAAUCAAUCAUUAGCAUUAUCAACAUUGUUAAUUAUUUGUUUACUUAACCAAUCUGCUAAUAUAUUAUCUUUUCCUUUAAUAUGUUCAAAUUUAGGUUUGAAACCAAUUAAAGAGUUUUGAAACUUUAUCCAUCUUUUGGUGGACAAUUUUGAAGAAUUUUUAUUUUCAAAGAAUUUUUUAAUGUUCUCACAAUCAAUUCUUAAAGUAAAUUGUUCUUGGUUUAAAAAUAAUUGAAAUUUUUCUAAAACUAAUAUUAUUGCUUCAAUUUCUAAAUCUGUAGAACUUAGGUUUUUUUGAUAAUCAUUAAAAAUUCCACUACAAUAUCUACAAAGUUUUUCUUCUCCUAUAUUAGUGACUGCAAAAGUAUACCUCCCCAUCUUGUUUGGCUAGCAUCAGUUUGAACUAUUUUGUAUUCACUUUCUAAGGGUAAAUGUAAGGUUGGGAGAUGCUUUACAAGUUCUUUUAUUUUUAGUACAAGUUUAAUAUCUUCUUGGUUAAAAUAUCUCUGUCCUAUGUUUUUUGUUUUACUAUAAAGGGGUCCAACUAAUCUACUAAGGUCUUUAAUAUAUGGUUUAGCAUAACUUAAUAAUCCUAAAAAACUUUGAAGGGUUUGUAAAUCUUUGAGUUUAUCUGGAAUAUUAUUUAUUUUUUUUUGCAUUAUAUGAUCUUGCAGUUUUAUUUGUCCAUCCUCCAAUUCUAAUCCUAAAAAUUAUAUUUGGGUUUUAAAUAAUUUCAAUUUCUUUUUACUUACUAUUAAACCAUGACUAAUUAGUUUUUCAAAAAUAAAUUCUAAAUGCUUUAUAUGUUCCUAAAGAGUAUAUGAAAAAACAAGAAUAUCAUCAAUAUAUACAAGAACAAAAGAGUAUUUACCAAAAAUAUUAUCCAUCAUUCGUUGGAAUAUCUGAGGAGCAUUUUUUAGUCCAAAUGACAUUACAUUCCAUUCAUAUAAUCCACAAGGACAUGAAAACAAUGCCCAUGGUUUGCUAUCUUCUUCUAAUUUAAUUUGCCAAAAGCCACUUUUAUAAUCUAGCUGAGAAAAGUAUUUACAUCCUUGAAUAGAAUUAAUUAAAGAAUCUUUGUUUGGAAUUUUAUAGGGAUCAUCAUAUGUAUUAUCAUUUAAUCUUUUAUAAUUAAUAACCAUUCUAGCUUUUCCUUUUUUUCUUCAUUAUGGUUCCCUACUAAAAAGGUUGAAGAUCUAUGGGGACUGAAACUUGGUCUAAUGAGGUUAUUAUGCAACAGUUCUUCUAUUUGAAUUUUGAAUUCCUUUGUAUUUAUAAGGUUACAUGCUAUAUCUGCCGUUUUUAUUGUUAAGUCUGGGUUUAUAAUUGGUAUUUUACAAGUUGUUUUAUUUUUAUUCCAAUGUUUUUGUGGAUCUUCUCCUAUAAUUCCUAUUUUUUCUACUUCUAAUAUAAAGUUUUUUAAUCUAUCUGCAUUUCUUAAUUGUUUUCAAUAAUCAUUAAUUAUGCUAUCCUUUUGUGCUUCUACUUUGUUAAUUUGAUGAGAGGUUACAUUAUGAUUUUUAUUUGAUGCAUUUUCCAUGUUUGUAUAAACAAUUGUUGUGGUUCUAGGAUGAAAAUUGACUUAGUUAUUUUGUAUUGUUAUCCCUCCUUGUAAAGAAUAUACAAAAUUUAAACCUAAAAUGAAAGGGUAUAAACUUAUAGUAGGUACAAGAUAAGUUUGAGGUAACACUAAGGUUAGAUUGUUAAUUAUGAUUGGUACAUUUGAAAUAUACUUGGUUAAUAUUAGUUUUUGUUGAUUAUAUUAGACUAAUUCUACUAGUUGAACUAAUGUUUGUUGGUCUUCUUGAGGUACUAAGGUUUCAAAUAAAAGGUUUUUACUGGCUCCAGUAUUUAACAUUGUAUCUACUUUUAAUUCUAUGAUUUUUAAUUAAUCGUUGUUGGAAAAAUGAUAGAUUUAACUUUAUUUGCCAUAUUUACUUGUUCUAUUGUUUGUAUAGUUGUUUUUUCAAGAUUUAUUGGUUCUUUUAUUUCUUUUAUAGGACUUAUUGGUUCUUUUAUUUCUUUAUGGUUUGAAUUGCCUUCCUCUUUUUCCGAGAAUUUUCCUUUAAUUAUUAUUUGUAAGUCUUUCCACAUAUUAUAAGGUUUUAUUUUGCUUUCUAAAGGUUGUACAAGGUUUUCUAAAUUUAAAGGGGUUUUCUUAGGUUGAUUUUCCUCUUUUUCAAUGAUCAUACAAAUUUCUUCUAUUUUGGUUUCACUAUCAUCUAUACUAUAUACACUUGAAUUUUCACUUUCAAAAUCUAAUUCACUAAUGAGUUCUUCUUCUUCACUAUCUACCUAAUACUCAUUUAUUAGGUUUAUUUUUACUAGGGUUUUUCUACUUCGUUCACUUAAUGGUUUUUUAAGUUCAGGACAUUCAGGUCUCAUAUGGCCUUCCUGACCACAUAAAUAGCAUUUACAUUGUCUUUUUCUUUCUGUAGUUUUUUUUUCUUUUUAUCAAAAACUUUCCAGGUUUUUUAUAUCUUAUUUGAUAUGGUCGUUUUUUAUAAAAGGUUUUUGACUUUCUUCUUAAAAAUUUAUUACAGUUCUUAGGUUUUCUAAACUUAUAUUCUCUACAUCCUACGUCUAAAUUUUCUCCUAUAUGUAAUUUUCCACAAAGUUGUUGAUUUAUGUCUUGUUUCUUUAUUUAGCUUCUUUCUCCUAUACUUACACAUUCUCUUUCUAACCAAUUUUUUUACAAAUUCUAUUCUAGCACCUAUAUAAGGAGAGUUUUUAUAUUUGGAGGUUUAAAAUUCAUUCCAUAGUCUAAGUCCUACAGGUCCUUGUAUUUUUAAUAUAUAUUUAUUUAAAUAUUCAGGGGUUCUAUAUACUCUAGCAAAGAUUGCAUAUUUUCUAAAUUUUUGUUCAUAUUAUUUUAUAUACAAAAGUUUACAUAAUUUCAAUUGUUUUAACUUAUAAAGGUAUAUUGCGGGUUCUUUUACAUCUUCUUAAGUUGUUCCUAGAAAAUAUAGUUUUAUUAAAUUUAUAAAUACUGAUAUGAUAAAAUUAUUUCUAACUUCUUGAAAAUAACUAUUGUUUUCUUGUUCUAUGUUUCUAAAGAAUUGUAAUAUGGUUCCUCUAAGGGUACUUUUACAAAAUUCAUAAAUUUCUUGUUGGUUUUCAAAGGAUACUACUACACCGGCUGAAUUUAAGGAUUGUUCCCAAUUUUCUAUGGUUUUCCUAAGGUCUUGUGUACCGUUUAUAUCUAAUAUUGUUCCAUAUUCAUAUAUUGGUUAUAAAGAACUAGAAGGUUUUGCUUUAGUUUUCCAUUAAGGUCCCUUUGGCUUACUGUACAACUUACUAUAUCUCAUUAUUUAAGUUUUUACAUUUACAAAUUCUUUUUCUUCAUUUAUUGUAUUUACUGAUUCAUUUGAGACUGUUUCUAAGUUUUCUUUAGCUUUUAGUUGAAUAGUAAAUUGAUUAAUUGUUUCUAUAUCUAUAAGUUUUUUUAUUAAAUUGGUUUUAUAAAGUUGUCCUAUUAUUUGCUCAUCUGUAUAGUUUCUACACAUUAUAUCAACAAAGUUUUCUUGAACUACAUGUUCUUCUAGUAACGUUGGGUUACUAAAUUCUUUUAACAUUAUAUUAACUAGUUUUGAAUUUUUGUAUAGGUUUUCUAUUAUUUCGAUGUUUAUUAAAAUAUCUUCUUGUAUAACAUUUACAGAUUCCAUUUCACUAUCUGACUCUACCUCUACAUUUACGGUUUUAUAGUUUCCAAAUGUUAUACUUGCACUUCCAUCUUGAUUUUCAUAUAAACUACUAGAUAUUAGAUAUUUUAUUACUGGUUUAUUUAUUUGGGGUAAUUCCCACUCUCGUCCUAACAAAUAGUCUAUAUUUACGGGUUUUGCUUCUAUCAUAUUUACAGUCUUACUUCCAAAGGUUUUUACUAUAUCAUCAAAUUCCAUCAUACAUUUUAAGCUUAGAGCAUUAGUGGUUUUUCCUAUAAAUCCUAUAGCUAUGCUAAGGUUCUUAUUUCCUAAUUCCAUAUCAUAACCUUUAGUAUUUAAAGCUAUUUUUUAUUUUUUAUGUGAAUUCCUUAAGAUCUAUAUAAAAUUGAGGUAUACAGCUAAUGACUGCGUAAUUUUGGUUCAUAUUAACUUCUGCAUUAGCUAAAAGAACUCGUCCUACUAUAUUGCUUCUAGUAUCUAAAAGGUUAAUAUUUAUACGUACCCAAUUUCUUUACGAUGAAGUCCUAUUAUUCCUAUUAAAAUGAUCCCUAAAUGCAUAUAUUUAUCGGUUUUAUUUUUUAAUAGUUUAUGUUUUGUUUAUGGAGAUACUAAGUCUAAAUAUACAAUAUUUCCUAUUGAACUUAUAGUAUGUUGGUUUAAAAAUCUAGUUAUUUUAGGAUUUUGAACUAAUCAUUUUUUGUAAAGUGUUACUUCAUUUACUGCAUUUUUUAAUUUUUCUUCAAUAAAUUCUUUUACAUUAUCUUUAGGGUUUAUAGUUUCUACCAUUUUCAUGGUUUUAUUGCUAAACUUUUUGGUUGAAAAGGAUUUAUUUUUCAUUUUGUUCUAAUUAUUGGUUUUUCUCUUAAACUAAAGUUUUCAAAUUGUUUUAAAAGAUGAUUUAAUUUUUGUUCUUCAGAUGAUCUUGUAUUUCUUUGUUCUAAAAGUUUAUCUACCUUUUGGUUAACUUUUUCUAAUGUUUCUUUUAAAUUUUGUUGUUGUAACCUUAUUUCUAUUUCUUUUCUAACAAAUUUUUCUUCUCUAGCUAAUUGUUCUUUAAUAUAAUCUAGGUUAUUUCUUAGCAAAUUAUGGUUCUUAAAGUCUUCUAGCUUCCUUUCUAAUUCCUAAGACCGUAUUUAGUUUUUCUAAGGAUUUUCUGUCUUUUCUGGAUUUCUUCUAAACAAUUGAUAUUAUUUUGGUUUUCUUCCUGAAUUUGUUUCUUAUGUUCUUGUAAUACUACGUUUGUUAUUUUUAAUUGCGUUUCUACUAGAAAUUUUUAACUGUUUUACCUCUUGGGUUUGCAGAGGAGGGUUCAUUAGUUUUUAAUAUUUUCUAAUUAGAUGAACUAGCAUAUAAAUUAUCAAUAUAAUAUUUUAUAAUUUCUCUUUUAAUUAGGGUUUUUGUAGCAAAAAGUUCGUCAAAGGCUUCUUGUAUAGCUAUUUCGUAUUCGUUUAAAUAUUUAAGAGAAGUUAGGUUUUUGAUAUCUGUGGUUAAAUCUUUUACAGUGUCCUUAAAUUAUGUAAUUUAUUACAAGUUUCUCUAAAUUCUUUCCAUUGAGCGUACAAUCUAUUAUUAAGUUCUUUUACACAAUCAUAAUCUAAAUUAUAUAUAUCAGGAGGAUAAGGAAUAAAAGACAUCAAUUCAUAUCAAACUAAAUGAACAUGCAAACUAAAUAAACAUAUAAAGCAAAUAUAAUCAGACUUUUAAUGGGGUAAGAUAAAGUUCGGUACUCUAAAAAUUAAUUUGAAUCAACGGUCACUUUUCCUAAGUAAUAUACUAACAAUAUACAUAAAGUUCUGAUACCAACUUUUCCCAACAACAUCCAUAAUUAGUUAUUCACAGUCAAGGCAAUGGUAGGAACCUUGAAAUAUUUCGUUCAAAAUCAAAGUUUAAAACCAAAACCAGUGUGAAUGCAUUUAUGUCCAUAUGUAUAAUAUAAAAUCCAAUAGUAUUGACAUUUUAACUUCACUUAAACCUUAAAAAUGAUAGUUAUCAAAUGCAAAAUAUUAAUAAUUGUAAAUUUAAUGUUUACAAAAUAUAUAAAAUUGAGAUAUAAACUUAGUCCAACUUAAAUUGCUAUUUCCAUUUUUUAAAAAGUAAACAUGAUACAAAUAUAAAAGAUUUUUCAAAUCAAUAGGAUUUGUAUACACAAAUUGUUUAAUAAAUUUAUAUUUAAUAGAAAAGAAUGUAUAUAUAGAUUGUUUGAUAAAUUUAUAUUUAAAAGAAAAGGAAUAUGAGUACCAUUCUCUACAAUAUUUUUUAUAUUGUUCUUUAGAAUAUAGAAUAUAUAAGCCUCUUAAUUCUAUCUUCCAAGUUAAAGAUGUUGCUUGAUUGAGUGUUGGAACACAACAAAAAUUCUAGACAACUCUAUUAUCUUUUUCUUGUUUUCCACAUAUAGUUUUUCUAUUUUUUUUCCUCAAAUAAUUUUUCUAUUUAUAUUCAUGAAAUUAUAGGUAAAUAUAGAUUGAUUUUAAAUUCAAAUCUCUAUAAAUGGAAUUAUGAAUAAGGAUAUAUUGAUUUUAAAUUCAAAUAGUUGUUGAAGGUGUUGCUUGCUUUUGAAUGACUUUUGAAAUUCUACAUAAGACUAUCUUAUUUUUUUCUUUUCUUUCUUAAAUGAUUUGUGUUGUAAAUGCAAAUUGAAUGUCACCACUUAAAGUCACCUUGUAUUAAAACUUAAAUUAAAACUACAUAAUUACAAGUCUUCCAUUAUUAUAAGAAACCUCCUCUCUACUCCCACAACUCCUCUUUUUCCCUUUCCCAAAUCUUCAUUUUUUUAUUUUCUUUUUUGCCCAAGCCCCCCUUCUCUCUCUAACCUUGCUGCCCAAUACACCUGCCUCUUUAACUAACUAUCUAACCAAAAAAAAGAUAAGAAAUUACCCUCCACCCCUCUGCAGAAUCCAUUCUGCACACUUUGUUUGUCACAUCCAAAACCACAUUUUCCACAGAAAAUCCUCUAUGCAAAGUCCUUGUCUCCCACUCUUUUCUGCCAACUCACCCCUUAAAAAUCUAAAUUGUGUUUCCUCAAAGUGUUGAAAAAGAUACUUCCCUAAAAAAAUGCUAUCUCCUUCCAAUUGCAGAAAAAAAAGUCCCAAGAAAGUCGUUCUAAAAAAUGGGGGUCUACAAAAACUAUAAAAGAAAUGGAGUCAUAUAAGUGGUGGAUAAAGUGAAAGAGAAGUAAGAAGAGAAAGUGAGAUAUUGAGAUGGGAGAAAAAUAAGUCGAAGAAGAUGAACCUACCUGUUGAGACAAAGAAGAGGCUUCAAUACCCCAAUCUUCAAGCCGUCGGAGGUACAAGGAAUUAAUGUUAGGUUUCUCUCUCGUUUUCUUUCUCUAUUCUGUUUUCUCUUUCAAUUUGGGGUAAAAUGAUGGUUUUUCUUCAAUUUAUUUAUUUUUAGAUUGUCUACUAGGACAACAAGGGAAAAGAUAUAUGGUGACAUUUAUAACGAGUCACUAUAAACAUACGGUGUUGCCAUAAUAUAACAUCACCUUAUCCACUAACGCCAUAGAGGGUACCAAUUAAUGACAUAUUUGGAAGUGACACCAAAGUAAAUAAAUGGUGGCAUAUUUGGAAGUAACACCAAUAACUGUAUGAGAUAUAUAAGGUAUCACAUUAAAUGCAUCACCUUUGAGUUAUAGUGUUAGAUUAAAUGCAUCACCUUUGAGUUAUGAUGUCACAUCAUUAUAGAUGAUUGUGGAAGAUAUGGUUGGUUAAUGCUUAUAAAUUAACAAAUAAGAUUAACUUGCAUAUAUUUUGUCCAUAAGUAUAAAAAUCAUAUUAUUUUGUAUCAUCCAAUAAUAUGUGUAUAUCAAAUCUUCACAAAAAUAUAAUGCAUCAAACACAUUAAACCCACCAAAAGUAAAAAAAAAAAAAAAGUAAAGUAAAUACACAAUAAAACAUGAUUUAUAAAUGUUAAGCAUACCAACAUUCAUGUAUACCUGCAUUUCAUAUGCAUAAAACCAACUAAUCAUAAAAUGAAACAAAAGUCACAUUCAAAAACUCAAAAUUCUCACUACCAAUUAAAGUAACAUUUAUGUCCUAUAGUGUAUGACAUAAGAAUCAUAUCUACCAACUAAUCAUAUUGUUUUUGAAUUCACUGGUACAGUUAAAACAAAUAUUUCAGGAAUUGUGUUGUUUACCCAAAAGGGUUUGGUUGAUCUUAUAAAAAAACUAAGGUAAUGUGAUGUUAACGCUUAUUGUAAUUGUUGUUUUUGAACUCAUUAGAGAUAUAACAUGUUUUCUUAGAUUUUGGAUUCCUGAAAUUUGCUUUUAUUGUUCAUAUGUAAUUUAAGGAUUUUUUUUUUUGUUUUCUAAUGUAAUUUAGGGAUUUUGAAAUUUUUUGUUGUUGUUUGAAUGGAGUUUAGGAACUAUUUUCCUUUUGUUGAUUCUUACUUUUGUUUUUUUGCUUAUUUUGGAAUUGAUAAGGUAUUGCAUGUUAUCUUGGAUUUUAGAUUCUUGAAAUUUUCUUUUGUUGUUUGGAAUUUUUAUUUUUUGGAAGAUCCUUAAAUUGUUUCUUUUGUAUUUAUUUUUCCAUGGACUAUUUUAAACCGAGGAAAUGAAUGAGUUUUGAAGUUAACUGAUAUAUACAUGUCUUUCUUGAAUUUGUUUUGCAAAUCUGGCAACUUACAAUGCUUGAUUAACAUGUUUACAUUGCAAAAGAAAAUAUUUAAAAUAAAUUUCUUUUUAAAAAAAAUAUGGACUAUAUAAUAAAUAUGGUACAUUUUGAAGGUGCACUACUUAAAAAAUAUGGAUGAAUUAAAAACCUUAAAAAAGUGGAUUUAAUAGAAAGUAUAUUUUGAGGAAAAUAAUCCCCAAAUCAUGCAUUAAAAUUGUAACUUCAUACAUGCUUCCAAAACUAUCCUUUAACCUUAAAGGGGGACUGUCACCCAAUAAAGCAAAACUAUAAAAGAGAUGUUCUCACAUUUUAUCGUGCUACAUGGUGCCCUUCUUUCUUUCCUAUUUUAUUUCUUUCCUACUUUGAGCUAUUCAUUAUGUUUUUUUUUCAGCUCAAUAUGGGCAACAACUUUUAAGGUAGUUGUGAACUAAUUUAUGAGUUAAGAGAGAAAGCAUGGGUUGAUUUUUAGAGCACCAUUAUAGGGUUCAAGAGUGUUGAAGGUGAAGUUCAUUGCGAGUGAUUUACUUUAACUUUGCUUGUGGAGAUUCAUAUUUCAACCAUUGUGGAAGGUUUUGUCAUACACUUUCUUCUUCUUCUUUUAAUUUGUGAAAUAAAGGUUUUCAUCUCAAGUAUUGGUAUAUUUCCACUAGUUUCCAUUGUUAAAGAAACUAGUGAGGGGUUGUAUUUCCGUUUUGGUUGAAAUAGAAGAAGUUUUCUCCAUUGUUUUUUCCCCUCAUUUAUAAGAGUUCUUCCAUGUUACAUGUAGUGUCCGUAGACAUAAAAUUUUUAGUGGAUUAAAUUAUCACUAGUUUUCAAAAUAAAUUAGUAAAUAAAUAAAUAUCCUUUUACGGAUAGGUUUCCUAUGAAAAAGGAAACUAAUCUCCAAGGAUAAUAAUAAUAAUAAGAAAAAUAUAUCAUUAUAAUCAUUAUCUUGUUGGUAAAACCUCUGGAAGAAGAGAAGUUACUAAAAUCAAGGAACUAAAUCAUUUGAAUUAAGUAACCAAAAUUUGAAAAUUUGAAAUUCAAAUUCUCUACCUUCACUUAAAAACAGAGGUGACUUCUUUCAAGAAAAAAGGAGGAGAAAUUCAGGAAUCAGAAAAAUUCAGAAAGGAAAAUCCGAAGGCAACUUCGUACGGGAAAGAGAUUUCACAACAAAAGAAAAAACUUCAUCAAAUCUCUCUGCAAGUUUGAUAAACGAUAAAAGGACUACACACGUGUUCUUCACCAUUCAACAAGUUCAUUCGAAAAAAGUCAUUUCGGCCCUUGAUAGAUCUUCAAAUUAAAGGAAACAAGUUUGUCAUUGUUCUUCAAGUUAUGGUCGAAACGAAGGAAUAAGAGAGAAAAUAUUAUUUUAUAAAAAAAUAUUAUAUUUGAGAUUGUACCCCACAAUAUUUUAAUUUCAAUAAAUAUGUUGUUCGUAUUAUUUUUCCUAUUGUUUUACUAGUUUCACAGGACUUACGAAAUUUGUGUGUAUAAUGUCAUUUUGUUGAUAUAUCUUUGGUUUAUUAUUAUUGUUUUGGUUGUAUUAUUGUUGUGGUUGUAGUAGAGCAAAUUGGAUUGGUACAAGUGAAAAAUUAGUUAUUAUGCCCAUACAGUUCUCGUCCUCCAUAUCUCCCACAUAUCUUCCUUAUCCCCCAUUGAAGUUAGUAAUCCUUCAUUGAUGCUAAAUAUCCUUCAUCUCAUUGUGAUAUCUUUGAUUGUUAUUAUUGUAUCCCUUAAGCCCCAACAAGAAAGUGGUCUUACUCUUAUCGUAAUUAAAAAUUAUAUUUUUGAAUUCUCACUUUUCAAAAUGCUUUUGGAAGUAGUCAUACAUUAGUAAAAAAAAUUAUAUUUUCAAACUCUUAUUUUCAAGUGGUAUCAUAUCAAUAAAAAGAAAAAAAAAUUACCUACAAAUAAUAAAUUUUUAUCUCUUUAUAUAUAUAUAUAUAUUUGAAAGUGGUCUUACUCUUAUAUAAUUAGAAAAGAUUUUUGAAUUUUUACCUUUUGAAAAUGAUAUUUGUUAGGAAAUUAUUAAAGUAGGCCCAUAUGUGUUGAUUAAUUGCAAAUUAUUAGUUGCCUUUUUUUCGAUUAGCUCAUUAAAGUGAUUAGAUAAGUUUAUAUUUAUUUAUUAGUUUUGGGGAUGUCAUUAAGUGUGGUGUGGGUUUUAAUGUGUAGACACCAUUUGAUUUGAUUUUAUUUUUUUAUGAUGGACUAAAAAUAAAAUAAAAUAAAUAAGUUGAAUCCCUAGUCUAAAUAGAUUAGAGAUUCUUCUCAUAUCCCAUCGUUGAGUGAAAUAAGGUUUUUCUCUUUAGAGAAGAAACGUUUAGAUCUCACUCCACUUUUUCAUAUUUCACUAGUUCUUUUUUUUUUUUUUUUCUUUCCUUUUGAUAGGUAAAUAUUUGUACUCAUUGGGACUUGAAUUUGGAACUUCCUACAAGCUAUCCCCAUCCCUUUCACCACUUAAGCCAGACCUGAAGGGCUUCACUAACAACAACAUGCUCAUUUUAAUCUUAUAUCUUAAUUUCUAGUUUUUAAAUUUAAGAUAUCAGUUAUUUGCUUUUAAUUUUCACUUCUAAUUUUUUCAUUCAAAUUUUAAUUUAAUUUUUAAUUUUUAAAUAAUUUUCAAUUUCUAAUCAAACUUCUAAUUUUUAAAUUUCUAACUUUUGAAUUUCAAAAUUUAUUUUAUUUUAUUUUUUAAUCAAUUUUUUAUUUUAAAUUUUAAUUAUCAUUUUUUUUAAAAAAAAUUAUAAUUUUUGAAAAUAUUUAAUUUUAAAAUUUCAAAAUUUUAAAAAUUUCAAAAGUAAUAACUAUAAUAAUAAUUUUAAUAAAAUAGGAAUGAUGAGGUGGUGAAUUGUAGGCACAUGUUGGGAGCAAGCUUUGAAUAAGUAAACAUAAGAGUGGAUAUUAGGAGAGAAAGUGAAACAAAGGAAAAAUGUAAAAGAAAACAAAAACAAUAAAGGGCUAAAGAAAACAAGGAGUAAAAGAAAAAACAAAUAAAUAAAAAUAAAAACAAUAAAGGGUUAAAGAAAACAUGGAGUAGAAGCCACAAUUUUUUACUUGAUAUAAUAGGGCCAAAGGCCAUAAAAGUUACAUAAUUCAACCCAAAAUCAGGACGUUAGUAUAUAAUUGAUAUAAAAUUGUAGACCCCCCCCCCCGAGGAGCUGAGAGUUUUUUUUAUGAUUAUUCUUUUUGCUAUUUUUCUGACUCCUCUGAAGUGGGCUGUUCUCGGGCGGCAGAUGGGAUGGGGGUACGGAGAUGGCUUGGAGGAGAAGCUAAAAAAGAAAAGAGGGAAAAGAAAAAGAAAGGGGGGAGAUAUCUGCAGAGGGGGCUUCUCUGGAGGAGGGGGAGAAGAACAGAGUGAUAGAGAAAAAGAGAUCGGACAGAGGAGAGGCUGUUGGCUGGUCUUUCUUGGAGAAAGGAGCCCGGUGGUCGCCAAAGCAAGACAGGUAUUUUUUUUCGGUAUCACCAUUUUAUAGUUUUUUUUCGUAGGCUCCCUCAGAUUUCAAUUUCUCCUUGUUUUGUUCUCCGUGAGUUCAACCCUACUUGUUGAGCUGCUGUGUUUUUUAUGAUUAUCAGAUUGACCUUUAAAGAAUUUACUAUCUUUUAAUGUUUCACCUCAGCAAGCAUCUUCUACUUUAAUCCACUGAAUGUUAGAUUCAUGGAUGAGAUAGUAAAACGGGUUUGGCAUGCUUGUAAAACGUUCCAUGUUCUGUGUUCCUUCCUAUUUUCUUUGCUUCUCUGUUUUCGCCAUGGUGAAGUACUCCAUCAGGCUUCGUGCUGAGAAGACUGGAAACCCGGUUUUCCUCAAUCUCGUUCCUCUUCUCGUGGGUAAUGUGGGUCCGAUUUUCACGAAGGGUGAUUUGAAGGAGGUCGACGAAGAGGUGGCCAAGUACAAGGUUGGAGCUCCUGCCCGUACUGGAUUAGUGGCCCAUAUUGAUGUCAUUGCCCCACCUGGUAACACUGGACUCAACCUUGCUCACACCCGAGCCUCCAUCAAACCCAUCUCUCCAACCUUUUCCCGAGUCUCCAUCAAGGUCACUCUCCAUCACCGCCAGCCGCCCACACUGUCAAUAGCACCCCCACUCAUUUUCAUGCCCAUCUCUCACGCAUUCUUGAAUUCCCAUGCAAACAAAAUCCCAUGCAUGUCGCCAUCAACUCUACCCAGCCCGCCCGCUAUAGGAACUCGGUGACAGCAGCAUUGUCGGCGAUGCACGUGGCGAACUCCCCCCCAGACGGCCAAGUUCGACCGAGGAAGCCUCUGACGCGCUUGUAAAGGCCGCGACUGCUGGCUCCAUCCUCGGGUGCAGACACCAAGUUGCAGCUGCGGGCUCCUCUCAUGAACGCCGACGCUGGAACGCGACGGCGAAUGCGACACGGGUGGCGAUAAUCGAGGCGGCGGCGCAUAAAGCGGGCAGCUUGGACCAGCUUCGAGGGCUCCGACGAAGCCUCUCAUCUCCAGUUCCUCCGUCGUCGUCGUCUGAAGUGGAGAGGAGCUGUGGAGAAGAUGAAUAUUUGGGCUUGAGUUAGAGCCCAAUCCAAGCCUGUGAUGGAGUUAGAGUUCAGGGCCAAUCCAAGAUGAUGGAUAUGGGCCAGGCUGAAAGGCCCAAAGGGAGAAUGAGAGUGGACUUGGGCUUUAGUGGGCUGGACUCAGAUGAUAGGCCCAAGUUUGUGAAGGCAUUGGGUGCCUUGGGCUUGCCCAUUUGACAUUUUUGGGCUUGGGCUUGAUGGAUGCAUAUUAUCAUUUAUUAUUAUUAUUAAUUAUUAUUAUCCUUGUUAUUAUUAUUAUUAAUAAUUAUUAUUAUCAUUAUUAUUAUUAUUAUUGAUUAUUAUUAUUAUGGUUUCUAUCAUUAUUAUUAUUGUUAAUUAUUAUUAUCAUUGUUAUUAUCAUUAUUAUUAAUCAUUAUUAUCAUUUCACACUAUCAACAUCCAUUUAUUACUAUUAUUAUCAUCAUUAACCCAAACUUUCAAAAAUCUCAUUAUUAUUAUCAUUAUCUCAACUUUCAAAAUCUUAUUAUUAUUAUUAUCAUUAAUCCAAACUUUCAAAACCCUAUUAUUAUUAUUACUAACCCAACUUUCAAAAUCUCAUUAUUAUCAUUAUUAUUAAUUCACACUUUCAACAUCUAUUUAUUAUCAUUAUUAUCAUCAUUAAUCCAAACCUCCAAAAUCUCAUCAUUAUCAUUAUUAUUAAUUCACAUUUUCAAAAUCUAUUUAUUAUUAUUUAUUAUUAUCAUUAAUCCCAACUCUCAAAAUCUUAUUAUUAUCAUUAUUGUUAACUCAACUUUCAACAUCUAUUUAUUAUUAUUAGAAAAUUUUGGGUGUAAAAUCAUGUUUUAAAACUAGAGUCUUUAGUCUUAACCCUUGACCUCAAACCCAUUUUUGCCGGAAAAUUGGCGUUUUAGGGAGACUAUGUCUGGUCAGAAGGGGGGUAUUACCUUGACACGAAGUGAUGUUUUAAAAUUUUUGAAUUUUAACCUGAAUUUUUGAGAUAUCUGAUUUCAAAAACUUAAUUUUUAUACGUUCAAGAUUUCAAAAACUUAAUUUUAUAUGUUAAAAAACUUUAACUAUAAGCACAGAACCCUUUUUAUAUUAUUUUAAUAAGUGUUUGAAAAAAUUUUAUAUUAAAAUAUUAAGUUUUUCAAAAUGUCUGAAACCUUUUAUGUUAUUUUAAUAAAGUUUGAAACUUUUAUGUUAAUUUAAUAUGUUUUUGUAACUUUUAUAUUAAAAUAUUAAGUAGAUGUAAAAUGUUUAUAUUAUUUUAAUGAUAGUAAUAAAUGUGUUCACACUUUAAUUCAAUAAAAAACUUUAAUUGAACUCUCAUUGCUAACGGAGAUUUUAAGAACCUUUACUAACAAACUGUUGUUGAAACUGCUUAUUGGGAAAAGUGACUGGUGAUGAGAAAAGUUGGUAUCAGAGCUUCUCUCUGUGUAUUGCAGUAUAUUAAUUAGGAAAGGAGACUGUAGAUUCAAAUUGAUUUUCAGAGUACCGAACUUUACCUUACCCCAUAUAAAGUCUGAUUAAUUUUGCUUAAUUUAUUCUGAAUCUUUAUUUGCUCUGCUUACUUAACAUGAAUUAGGAAUUAAUGUCUUUUAUUCCUUAUCCUCCUGGUAUAUAUAAUAUAGAUUAUGAUCGUGUAAAAGAACUUAAUAAUAGGUUGUAUUCUCAACGUAAAGAAUUUAGAGAAACUUGUGAUAAAUUACAUAAUUUAAGAACUAUUGUAAAAGAUUUAACCACAGAUAUUAAAAACUUAACUUCUCUUAUUUGUCCAUCCUCUAGUUCUAAUCCUAAAAAUUCUAUUUGAGUCUUAAAUAAUUUCAAUUUCUUUUUACUUACUAUUAAUCCAUGACUAAUUAAUUUUUCAAAAAUCAAUUCUAAAUGCUUUAUGUGUUCUUGAAGAGUAUAUGAAAAGACAAGAAUAUCAUCAAUAUAUACAAGAACAAAAGAAUAUUUUCCAAAAAUAUUAUCCAUCAUUCGUUGGAAUAUCUGAGGAGCAUUUUUUAGUCCAAAUGGCAUUACAUUCCAUUCAUAUAAUCCACAAGGACAUGAAAACGCUGUCCAUGGUUUACUAUCCUCUUCUAAUCUGAUUUGCCAAAAUCCACUUUUACAGUCUAACUGAGAAAAAUAUUUACAUCCUUGAAUAGAAUUAAUUAAAGAAUCUUUGUUCGGAAUUUUAUAGGCAUCAUCAUAUGUAUUAUCAUUUAAUCUUUUAUAAUUAAUAACCAUCCUAGCUUUUCCUCGUUUUUCUUUAUUAUGGUUCCUAACUAAAAAGGCUGAGGAUCUAUGGGGACUGAAACUUGGUUUUAUGAGGUUAUUCUAUAACAGUUCUUCUAUUUGAAUUUUGAAUUCCUUUGUAUCUAUAAGAUUGCAUGCUAUAUCUGCAGUUUUUAUUAUUAAAUCUGGGUUUUUAAUUGGUAUUUUACAAGUUGUCUUAUUUUUAUUCCAAUGUUUUUGUGGGUCUUUUCCUAUAAUUCCUAUUUUUUCUGCUUCUAAUAUAAGGGUUUUUAAUCUAUUUGCAUUUCUUAAUUGUUCUGAGUAGUCAUUAAUUAUGCUAUCCUUUUGUGCCUCCACUUUGCUAAUUUGAUGAGAUGUUACAUUAUGAUUUUUAUUUAAUACAUUUUCCAUGUUUGUAUAAACAAUUGUUGUGGUUUUAGGAUGAAAACUAACUUGGUUAUUUUGUAUUGUUAUCCCUCCUUGUAAAGAAUGUACAAAAUUUAAACCUAAAAUAAAAGGAUAUAAACUUAUAGUAGGUACAAAAUAAGUUUGGGGUAAUACUAAGGUUAUGUUAUUAAUUAUGAUUGGUACGUUUGAAAUAUACUUGGUUAGUAUUAGUUUUUGUUGAUUGUAUUGGAUUAAUUCUACUGGUUGAACUAAUGUUUGCUGAUCUUCUUGAGGUACUAAGGUUUCAAAUAAAAGGUUUUUACUGGCUCUAGUAUCUAACAUUGCGUCUACCUUUAAUUCUAUGGUUUUUAAUUUAAUUGUUGUUGGAAAAAUAAUAGAUUUAACUUUAUUUGCCAUAUUUACUUGUUCUAUUGUUUGUAUGGUUAUUUUUUCAGGAUUCAUUGGUUCUUUUACAAGACUUUUUGGUUUUUCUGUGUGUUCUUCUGUGUCCUUAGUUUUUGAACUACUAUCUUCUUCUUCUUUUGAAAAUUUUCCUUUGAUUAUUAUUUGUAAAUCUUUCCAUAUAUUAUAAGAUUUUAUUUUACUUUCUAAAGGUUGUACAAGGUUUUCUAAAUUUAAAGGGGUUUUCUUAGCUUGAUUUUCCUCUUUUUCAAUAAUCAUACAAAUUUCUUCUUUUUCAUUUUCACUAUCUUCUACACUAUAUACACUUGAAUUUUCACUUUCAAAGUCUAAUUCACUGAUAAGUUCUUCUUCUUCACUAUCUAGCUGAUACUCAUUUAUUAGGUUUAUUUUUACUUGGGUUUUUCUAUUUCGUUCAUUUAAUGGUUUUUUAAGUUCAGGACAUUCAGGUCUUAUAUGGCCUUCCUGACCACACAAAUAACAUUUACACUGUCUUUUUCUUUCUGAGGUUCUUUUUCUUUUUAUCCAAAACUUUCCAGGUUUUUUAUACCUUGUAUGAUAUGGUCGUUUUUUAUAAAAGGUUCUUGACUUUCUUCUUAAAAAUUUAUUAUAUCUCUUAGGUUUUCUAAACUUAUAUUCUCUGCAUCCUAUAUCUAGAUUUUCUCCUAUAUGUAAUUUUCUAACAAGUUGGUUGAUUUAUGUCUUGUUUNNNNNNNNNNNNNNNNNNNNNNNNNNNNNNNNNNNNNNNNNNNNNNNNNNNNNNNNNNNNNNNNNNNNNNNNNNNNNNNNNNNNNNNNNNNNNNNNNNNNNNNNNNNNNNNNNNNNNNNNNNNNNNNNNNNNNNNNNNNNNNNNNNNNNNNNNNNNNNNNNNNNNNNNNNNNNNNNNNNNNNNNNNNNNNNNNNNNNNNNNNNNNNNNNNNNNNNNNNNNNNNNNNNNNNNNNNNNNNNNNNNNNNNNNNNNNNNNNNNNNNNNNNNNNNNNNNNNNNNNNNNNNNNNNNNNNNNNNNNNNNNNNNNNNNNNNNNNNNNNNNNNNNNNNNNNNNNNNNNNNNNNNNNNNNNNNNNNNNNNNNNNNNNNNNNNNNNNNNNNNNNNNNNNCAUUCAAAUAUUUAAGAGAAGUUAAGUUUUUAAUAUCUGUGGUUAAAUCUUUUACAGUAGUUCUUAAAUUAUGUAAUUUAUCACAAGUUUCUCUAAAUUCUUUACGUUGAGAAUACAACCUAUUAUUAAGUUCUUUUACACGAUCAUAAUCUAUAUUAUAUAUACCAGGAGGAUAAGGAAUAAAAGACAUUAAUUCCUAAUUCAUGUUAAGUAAGCAGAGCAAAUAAAGAUUCAGAAUAAAUUAAGCAAAAUUAAUCAGACUUUAUAUGGGGUAAGGUAAAGUUCGGUACUCUGAAAAUCAAUUUGAAUCUACAGUCUCCUUUCCUAAUUAAUAUACUGCAAUACACAGAGAGAAGCUCUGAUACCAACUUUUCUCAUCACCAGUCACUUUUCCCAAUAAGCAGUUUCAACAACAGUUUGUUAGUAAAGGUUCUUAAAAUCUCCGUUAGCAAUGAGAGUUCAAUUAAAGUUUUUUAUUGAAUUAAAGUGUGAACACAUUUAUUACUAUCAUUAAAAUAAUAUAAAAAUUUUACAUCUACUUAAUAUUUUAAUAUAAAAGUUACAAAAACAUAUUAAAUUAACAUAAAAGUUUCAAACAUAUUAAAAUAACAUAAAAACAUAUUAAAUAAUCUUUUAUAAUUAAUAACCAUCCUAGCUUUUCCUCGUUUUUCUUCAUUAUGGUUCCUAACUAAGAACAAUUAAGAAAUGCAAAUAGAUUAAAAACCCUUAUAUUAGAAGCAGAAAAAAUAGGAAUUAUAGGAGAAGACCCACAAAAACAUUGGAAUAAAAAUAAGACAACCUGUAAAAUACCAAUUAAAAACCCAGAUUUAACAAUAAAAACUGCAGAUAUAGCAUGCAAUCUUAUAGAUACAAAGGAAUUCAAAAUUCAAAUAGAAGAACUGUUACAGAAUAACCUCAUAAAACCAAGUUUCAGUCCCCAUAGAUCCUCAGCCUUUUUAGUUAGGAACCAUAAUGAAGAAAAACGAGGAAAAGCUAGGAUGGUUAUUNNNNNNNNNNNNNNNNNNNNNNNNNNNNNNNNNNNNNNNNNNNNNNNNNNNNNNNNNNNNNNNNNNNNNNNNNNNNNNNNNNNNNNNNNNNNNNNNNNNNNNNNNNNNNNNNNNNNNNNNNNNNNNNNNNNNNNNNNNNNNNNNNNNNNNNNNNNNNNNNNNNNNNCUAAGUGCAUAUUAUUUAUCGGUUUUAUUUUUUAAUAAUUUAUGUUUUGUUUCUGGAGAUACUAAAUCUAAAUAUACAAUAUUUCCUAUUGAACUUAUAGUAUGUUGAUUUAAAAAUCUAGUUAUUUUAUAAUUUUGAACUAAUUGUUUUUUGUAAGGUGUUACUUCCUUUACUGCCUUUUUUAAUUUUUCUUCAAUAAAUUCUUUUACAUUGUCUCGAGGGUUUAUUGCUUCUACUAUUUCCAUGGUAAAAGGAUUUAUUUUUCUUUCUAUUUUAAUUAUUGGUUUUUCUCCUAAAUUAAAGUUUUCAAAUUGUUUUAAAAGGUUAUUUAAUUUUUGUUCCUCUGAUAUUACUAUAUUUCUUUGUUCUAAAAGUUUAUCUACUUUUUGGUUAAUUUUUUCUAAAGUUUCUUUUAAAUUUUGUUGUUCUAAUUUUAUUUGUUCUAUUUCUUUUCUAACAAAUUUUUCUUCUCUAGCUAAUUGUUCUUUAAUAUAAUCUAGGUUAUUUCUUAGCAAAUUAUGGUUCUUAAAGUCUUCCAGCUUCUUUUCUAAUUCCUAAGACCGUGUUUAGUUUUUCUACAGAUUUUAUUUGUCUUUUCUGGAUUUCUUUUAAAAUAUCUAUAUUGUUUUGGUUUUCUUUCUGAAUUUGUUCUUGUAAUACUUCGUUUGUUAUUUUUAAUUGUGUCUCUACUAAAAAUUUUUACUGCUUUACCUCUUGGGUUUGUAGAUGAGGGUUCAUUAUCUCUAAUAUGUUUUAAUUAGAUGAGCUAGCAUAUAAAUUAUCAAUAUAAUAUUUUAUAAUUUCUCUUCUAAUUAUGGUUUCUGUAGCAAAAAGUUCAUCAAAAGCUUUUUGUAUCGCUACUUCGUAUUCAUUCAAAUAUUUAAGAGAAGUUAAGUUUUUAAUAUCUGUGGUUAAAUCUUUUACAGUAGUUCUUAAAUUAUGUAAUUUAUCACAAGUUUCUCUAAAUUCUUUACGUUGAGAAUACAACCUAUUAUUAAGUUCUUUUACACGAUCAUAAUCUAUAUUAUAUAUACCAGGAGGAUAAGGAAUAAAAGACAUUAAUUCCUAAUUCAUGUUAAGUANNNNNNNNNNNNNNNNNGUAGACAAAUAAUUAAUAAUGUCGAUAAUACUAAUGAUUGAUUUCAUGAUUACAGGAACAUGGCUCAAAGAAAACCUACGAAAGCUAGAACCUUUCAAUAUGGAACCAUAUGUCUAAACGAAGUGUUGAAUCCAAACCUAAGGUUUAACUCUUUAUUUUCUCAAAACCUUUUUGAAGAACAUAAGGUUAUUGUAGAUAAUUUUUGGUCUUUAAAACCACAAAGUUUUCCGAACCAAAAUUUAGAAUACGCUUAUGGAAAAACAGUGUCAGCUUUAGCCCAACAUUUACAAAACCUUCAAAACCAACUGAUUGCUUUAGAAACCCAAAAAUUCCAAAACCUCAAAAUCCAAGAAAAUCAAGAAAAACUGAUAGAAGAUUUGAAAACCAGUACAGUGUCAACCAAUCAAACCAGCUGUUCAAACAGUCAACCUGAAGUAAUUAGUUUAAUUAAGAAAUCAGCUCUUCUGACUGAACAAUAUGAAAGGCUUAUUGUUAAAAAUAUAAUUGGAGUUGAUAACUACUCUUUCGUCAAAACCUUUUUUCUACAAAACCAAUAUAACAAAGUGUUUAAAAAUCAAGAACUUUUGUAUAAACAUUUUAGAACUAAAAAUGCCGGGAUAAAAACAGGGUAUAUGGCAUAUCACGACCCUGAAUUUUUCUUUGUUAUAUAUCUAGCUUAUGUAAAUAUGUCUAUUGUAAAUAAAGAAAAUUUUGAUUUAGUACCGCAACUUAUGGAUCAGGGAAUUUUAAAAAAUGUUUUUAUGAACCAUAUAUCUCAAAUCCCUGAAAAUUUCCCAGAAAAAUUGAAAGAUAUUUUAACUUAUCUUUUUAAAACCGAAAAAUAUAUAGAUAUUUCUUUUGAAACCAUUCCACCUUUAUUUCAACCCGAUGGAUCAGAAGUACCAGCCUAUCAUCAUGUAUAUAUAAAACAUAAUAAAGAACCACUCAUCCCUCAACAAGAACCAGAAUGGGAAAUGACCCGUUCAGAUGAAUUUGCAGAAUUUUUUACUCGCUAUAGAGCUUUUCAAAUCUAUGAUCUUAGACCAACCCGGAAUAAAUUAUUUCAUCUCAUUGGCGAAACAAAAACCAUGUCUAUAUGGAGAAUAAAACCUUUAGAACACAUUAUUGUUCCAAACCCUUUUAUUACUUCUGAAGAACAGGAUUUUAUAACCGAACUCAGUGUAGAUAUACCGGAACCAUCUUCCUACCUCAGCGAUGACACAUUAUUUUGGGACAACCUGGAUGAUGAAAGUUAUCAUAAUCUACAAAAUGCAAUGGAAGGAUGAUGUCAGCAAUGACGACAUUGAAGCAGUAAAUGCGUCUUCAACUACAAAAAUUAAACAUGGAAGUACAAGUUCAGAAGCAGUAAAGACAUCCACAAGCCACGUGUUAUGCAUGUAAUAAAAAGAGAAGAAAAGGACAAGAGAAAGAGACAAGAAAGAAGAGAAGAACGGAUGAAUUAAAGUCAUAGUCUCAAAAGUCUUUGUAUUUAUUUUAUACCAAACCUUUGAACACCGUAAAUAUUUUUCCUGCCAUCCAACCACUUGAAAUUAAUUCUCACCUGUAUUCUCACCUGUCAUUUGUAAAUGCUUUGCCUAUAUAUUAGUGGUAAAAGAAAAGAAGUGUGUGCCCGAGAGAGUGUGUUAAAAGGUGUGUGCAAUAGUGUCUGUAAAAGGAAGCUCCAUCUUCAGCCUUGUACAAUCAUCAGCAAUCAAUAAGAAAGUAAGAAUUUUCUGUUAAAUUUUUGCCUUCAUUUAAAUUUAUUAUGUAUUUUUCUUACCCUUAGGGGGUAAAAAGGGGUAAAAAGGUAAAGUAGGGAAAUGAAAAUUAUUUGAAUUAUUUUUAAGUUUUCUUUACUAGUUAAUAUAUGUAAUAUACAUGGAUCCUUUUUAUAUAAUGUUCUCAUCAACAUAAAAAAAAAAAAAAAAAAAAUCGGCUUAUUUAGAAAAUUUUGGGUGUAAAAUCAUGUUUUAAAACUAGAGUCUUUAGUCUUAACCCUUGACCUCAAACCCAUUUUUGUCGGAAAAUUGGCGUUUUAGGGAGACUAUGUCUGGUCAGAAGGGGGGUAUUACCUUGACACGAAGUGAUGUUUUAAAAUUUUUGAAUUUUAACCUGAAUUUUUGAGAUAUCCGAUUUCAAAAACUUAAUUUUUAUACGUUCAAGAUUUCAAAAACUUAAUUUUAUAUGUUAAAAAACUUUAACUAUAAGCACAGAACCCUUUUUAUAUUAUUUUAAUAAGUGUUUGAAAAAAUUUUAUAUUAUUAUCAUUAUUAUUAUCAUUAAUCCGAACUUUCAAAAAUCUCAUUAUUAUCAUUAUUAUUAAUUCACACUUUCAACAUCUAUUUAUUAUCAUUAUUAUCAUCAUUAAUCCAAACCUCCAAAAUCUCAUCAUUAUCAUUAUUAUUAAUUCAUAUUUUCAAAAUCUAUUUAUUAUUAUUUAUUAUUAUUGUUAACUCAACUUUCAACAUCUAUUUAUUAUUAUUAGUAUCAUCAUUAAUCCAAACUUCCAAAAAUCUCAUUAUUAUUAUUAUUAUCAUUAACUCAACUUUCAACAUCUAUUUAUUAUUUAUUAUCAUCAUUAAUCCCAACUCUCAAAAAUCUCAUUAUUAUUAUUAUUAUUAUAAACUCAACUUUCAAAGUCUAUUUAUUAUUAUUAUUAUCAUCAUCAACCCAAACUUCCAAAAAUCUCAUUAUUAUUAUUAUUAUUAACUCAACUUUCAAAAUCUAUUUAUUAUCAUUAUUAUUAUCAUUAAUCCGAACUUUCAAAAAUCUCAUUAUUAUCAUUAUUAUUAAUUCAUACUUUCAACAUCUAUUUAUUAUUAUUUAUUAUUAUCACUAAUCCAAACCUCCAAAAUCUCAUCAUCAUCAUUAUUAUUAAUUCGCACUUUCAACAUCUAUUUAUUAUUAUUAUUAUCAUCAUUAAUCCAAACUCUCUUAUUAUCAUUAUUGUUAACUCAAUUUUCAAAAUCUAUUUAUUAUUGUUAUUAUUAUCAUUAAUUCAGACUUUCGAAAUCUUAUAAUUAUUAUUAUUAUUAUUAAUUCAACCUCUCAAGACCUCAUUACUACCAUUAUUAUAAAUUCAACUUUCAAAAGUCUAUGGUCUCGCAUUUCAAUUUCCUAAAGUCCGUUUCUCAUUUUCUUUAACAAAUUUCGAUUUAAUCACCGGAGCUCUAAUCUUCAAAAUUUAAUUCCAAAUACUCCAAUUUUCAAAUAAGCUCCAAUAAUUCAGUUUUCACUCGAAUAGUUCUUAAUCACAUUUCAGUUCCUAAAUAAUCUUCUGAUCUUCUUGAUUUUAUAUAAGCAAUAGUGAUUCCUUCAUAAUUCUAAAACACGGGAUUUGUGAGACUAAGUCAUGAACAAUAAAUCGGGCUUUGUUGGGGGCCCUAUGUUUGACCCCUUUUGACUGUCAAUUAUCGUGCUUACUGUAUUUUGCUUGAGCUUCGUUUUGCACUCCGAUAUGCAUAGGCUAUAUUUUGUAUUCAUUAAUUGUGCACUAAUCCCGUUUCUUUAUAGCGCGUUGUUGUUUGCUGCUCAGGUACGCAUUCACUCAUUCUGCUCAUACACUGUACAUAUUCUGAUUCUCACAUAUGCAUGAUUGAUGUGAGUAUCCAUUGACUUUCUUAUUCGAUUGCCACGUCAGUUUCACUUUAUUAGUAGAGACCCGACUUUAGGGGCUUAGAGGGGUGCUACGGUCUUUACCGUACCUUCCCGAUGAGUAACUUGACCCCCGAACCCGAUCCGGUUUUUCACAGACCACCUUUUCCAAAACAAGGAGUCACACUUAGGGUUUUUCUUUCUUAUUUUGUUUACCCUUUUAAAAAUAAAACAAAAAUAAGUGGCGACUCCAAGUCAUUUUUAAUUAACAAAUUAAUUUUUCAAAUAAAAAUCGAGCUCGCCAUUCGAGUGGGAAACGCAUGAGCCGAAAUGUGGGGUCCACAAAAAUAUUUUCGAUUUGUAAACUAACCCAUUAUGCCCAAAAUCCUUUAAUGGUUUAUUAGAUUAAUAUUAUAACAAUUAACUUAUUAAUAAUCUUAAUAUUAUUCAUUUUAAUUAAAUAAUAAUAAUAAUAUUUUGUAUUACAUAUAAAUGUACAAAGUAUUUAAACACUUUUUUUACACUUAUAUCAUAUCAUUAUUAUAUGUAAUUAAUUCAAAUAAUGUUUUUGGACAACCUCUAAAUUAGUUUAGAUAAUGUUUGUGUUUUAGAAAAAUUAUCAUUAUUUCUUUUUUUUUUUUUAAAAAAAAAAAAAAACUUGAUUGAGAUAAUAAUUCUCCUUUAAAAACCUAAUUUAGAUAAUGUUUCUCUCUUAAAAAAAUUAUCAUUAUUUUUUAAUAAAAAAAACUUGAUUUAAAUAAUGAUUCUCUUUGAAAACUUAUCAUGAUUUUAUUUUCCAUUCUUGAUUUAUUUAAUAAAAAAAUAUUUAAAUUAAAAUCAAAUAAAUAUAAAAAAUUGGGUUGAAUUAAUUCGUUUUUUUUAAUCCAAUUUUUAAAAAGAAAUUAUUCUUCAAUCUGUAUUCAAUUCAUAUGAUAAUAAUAUAUUAUUGUUUUAAUGGUUAUUUCAAUUUUUUUUUUUUUAAAUUAAUAUUUGAAGAUGAUAUAAGUUUUUCAUAGAAAAAAUUUAAUAAAUUGUUCAUGUAUUAUGUAUUUAUUAUUAUAUUCAUUCAAAGUAUUCAUUGUUAUGUUAAUUAAAAUUGAUUUUUUUUUUAUGAAUACUUCUUUACCAAAAUAAAUAUUAAGAAUCAUUAUCUAUUUAUUUUAUAUUUUUCAAUAAAAAUAUCUCUUAUUAAAAAAAUAUUUAAUGACUUUUUGUAUAUAAGUUUUCCUAAGUAGCCAUUCAUAUUCAUUAAUUCAAAUAUCUAGAUGUAAUUAAUUCUUUGUUUUCUCCAAAGACAAUCUACUUUUUAUAAAAAUAUUAUAAUGUAAUUAAAAUAAUUUUAAUAUCUUCAUUUAAAAAAAUGAUGAUAAUUUAAUUUUUUUUUUUAUAAAAAUUGGAUAAAUAAAAUUAUGACAACUGAUUUGUUUAUCCAUAUCAUAGAAGAUUUAUAUUUAUUGUUGUUUAAUCAUUCUUGUCUUAUUUCAUGUAAAAUCAUUUUUUUAAAAAGAAAAUUUUAUUAUGACUAUAAUUUAUAAAUUUGUAAUAAAAUAUAUAUCUUUAAAUGAUGAUUUUGAAAAAUAUUAUAUUUUUUAAAAUAGAUUCACAACUAUUUUUUUUUUAUAUAUACAAAAUUUUCUUAAAAAUAAACAUAGUUAUAACAAAAAAACUCUUCAUUAGAGUAUGAGAUUUAAAGAGUCAAUCUUUUCAUCUUAGUAAAUUGCGUCUUAAAUAAAUUCAUCCCAUUAAAUAGAUUCAUCUCAUUAAUAGACCCAUUAAAUAGAUUCAUUUCAUCAAAUUCUAUUUUAUUUCUACGUCUCCCUUUAUAUAUUACUCUUACUUUUAUAUCCCAUUAAAUUUUAUUAUCUUAUUUUUGCAUCCAUUUAAAUUUUAUUUUGCUUCUACGUCACCUUUAUCUCUUUGCUAUCAUGUUCUAUUACUCUUAUUUUGUGACAUGAUAUUACCUAUUUAUUACUUGUUUCAUAUCAACAACACUGUAAUUAAGGGCUAUUUUAUUUAAAUAAUAUUAUUUUUCAAAACAAUACUUUAAAAAAUCCUAUAUCUACAUCUGGAUUAUGUCUAAAAGAAUAGUCAUCCUCUAAAACAUCUUAUACCCAAAAACCACUCCUCAAAAAUUUUAUAGUUCUCUAGAAUCCCUUCAAUAAAUGUUAAUGAGUUUUCACUUCAUAUUCCUCCUUUUAUGGAUGAUGUCUUUUUAGUGUCAACACUAAGAAUUUUAUUGAUUUCAUAUUUAAUGUUUUUUUAAUUUUAACUUUCAUAUUUAAUGUCUUUUGAUUCUAUUCACCUAUAAAUAAACUCAUGUUCUCAAUUUGUAAAGUAUUCAUUUUUAUUUCUCUCCGUUUUCCCUUUUCCCUUUCAUUACCAAAUUUUAUUUGCUCACAAAAUGACACAAAUUAGUAUUUUCUCAUCGUUCGAUCCUAUUUGCUCACAAAAUGUCAUAACAUGAAGGGUUUGGUGUUUUUUUUUUUGCAAAUCCUAUAGUCCCAAUAUUGGAUACCACCUUGGCACCUGCUCUAUUGCUUGAUAUUGGAUUUGUUUUUUGUGUUUCUCUUCAACAUUCUUUGAUGUUGUAUCUCUCUUCAGCGUAAUGAUUGUCUCCUCCUUGAUCUUUUCUCUUCUCACUCUCAUGAAUCAUAUCUAAUGGAUUUGUUUUUCAUAUCUUUCUUCAACAUUCUUUGAUGUUGUAUGCAUUGUUAGUCUGUCCUCACUCUCAUGAAGCCUCUCUGAUCUUUUAUGGAUCAACGCUAUUUUUUAUAGGAUUGAUUUUGUUGGGGGAUCAAGAAUGAUAUUGUAUUCACUCUUAAAGAUUAUAUUGAAUUUUCAAAUAAAUAUAUUCCAAUUUUAUUUUAAAAUAUUUCUCUAUAAUUAUGUUUAUUCUUAUUUAAUUAUUUUACUAUUGAUCACAAUCAAAUUAAUUUCAGUAUGAAAAAAAGGAUGUAAUUUGAAUAUGAAAAAAAAUGAUGAAGGAAAAGAGAGAAGUUGGGAAGAUAAUUGUGAUAAAAAAAAAAUCUAGGUGUUUAAUUAAUUUUAAAAUUGGCUGGAUAAUUUAUCAACAAAUUACUCUAAAAAACUCCCAAAUUUAAUUUAAACUAUCUUAUCUAAUACAAAUAAAAUAUAAUGCACAAAAGUUUUGUAUAUUUAAAAUAAUAAAUUCAACUAUUCAUGUCAACUAUUCAUGUUGAGAAAAUAAAGACUAAUCUUUAAAAGAGAAAACACCCAAAGGGGGAGGGGGGAGGGGGGAGGGGGGAGGGGGGGAAUUGGGAUUAAAAAAAAUCUUUUUAAACACAACAAAUUUAAGCAUAAAAGGAGCAAAUAAAAUGAGAUAAAGUUAGAGAAAUCAAACUCAGAUUUUAUAGUGGUUCGACACUUCCUUACUUACGUCCACUCUCCUCAAGCUCCUAACCGAGUGAGGGUUCCGCUAACUUGAAGUUUCAACCAAGCUUCCAAUCACCUUUACACUUGGAUUUCAGCUCCAAUGGACUCUUACACAAUCUUUUCAAGUUUCAACUCACUUGAAGGCUUUAACACUCAAUUAACAAGAAUGAAUCUCUCAACCUAGCUCAAUAAUAGCUCAAAUACAACUUAAGGCUAGGAUGAAUCACAAAGGUGCACUAAAUGAUAUGCAAAUAAAGAUUUAAUGCACCAAGAAAGGAAUGAGAGCUUUUAAGGCAAGAGCAAGUGGGUAGACAAAUAAAUACAGGUGUUCUCUUGCUCAUAAAUGAAGUGGAGCUCUCUAUUUAUAGGCUUCUAACCUCGGGAGCCAAGAAAGCCAAAAAGCAACCUUAAUCGGUCAAGCUGGGGGUUGACCGGUUCACUAGCCGUUGGAGUAUUUAAUGCUUGGCAGGUAACCGUUACCCUCGACCAGACCUCAACCAGGAAGGAAGAUCCCUCGACUAGGAUGAAAAAGCUACUGGAAGAGAGAGAGUGCUUUUUGCACCUCUCAGCUGGACCUCGACUAGAAAUAGGGAACCGAUCGACCGGUACCCCUAGCUGGUUGAGCCGGUUGGCCAGUGCCUCAACCGGUUCACCAUUUUUGGCCCUAAAACCUAUCUUUUUUUGUUCUUUUCUCUUCUAACACUUAGGCAAGGUCUUUAGGUAAAUUAAUAUGCCAAUUUUGAAGUGAUUUGCCUAAGGUUCAUUUGAUAAAACUCGGGUUUUGAUGAAACUAUAACUUUAAAGAAUAAACCAAGUUUUUCAAAAAUGCAUGAAAUGAUAUGUAAAACCUAAGUGCACCCAUGCAUUCAUAUUACAUAUAUUUCCUAUGAUUAAAGGUCUUCCAAAGGUCUUGAUCUUGCAUAUAUUAGGUCAUUUGAUGAAUUUUUAAAUUAACACCUGAAAUUCUUUAUAAUUCAAACCAGUUAGUACCUUAACCAUGGUUUGUUAUCAUCAAAACCUGAUUAGGAGAACCCUUGGGCUAACACAUGUGAACUUUAAAAAAAAAAUGAUGAUAGAUUAAUUUUCAAUAUUUUAAGUUUCUAAAGUUAUCAUAAUAAAUUUCAAAUUUAUUUCAAAAUAUUUAUAAGCAAUUAAUUUUAUUCUUAUCUAAUUAUUUUACUAUUGAUCGUGAUCAAAUUAAUAUCAGUAUUAACAUAGAACAAAUGAUGAAAGGAAGGAAUGAAGGAGUUGGGAAGAUAAUUGUAAUGAUAGUUAUUUGCAUCAUUUUAUAUAUUUAUAUAUUAUUUUAAUUAAUUUUUAAAUAUAAAAUUUUAUUAAAAUAAAUCUUAAAAAUCUCUUAUUUAAUUUAAAUGAUCUUAUUUAAUAUGACUAAAACAUAAUUCACAAAAUUUUUGUAUAUUUAAAAUAAUAAAUUCCACUAUUCAUAUAACCUUUUAAAAAAAAUUAAUAAUAUGUUAAUUUUCAAUAUUUUAAGUUUCUAAAGUUAUCAUCAUAAAUUUCCAACUAAAAGUCUAGAUUGUUGAAGUUGAAAAUUCCUAGAGCAGUAGUCUUCCUCUCACUGCGCGUUUUCUCUUACUUGCCACACAAGGCUCACCUAAUGUUACCCCGGGUUAACCUCCUUCGAAGGUUAAGUUAGUUGGGGUUUCUUUUACAAAGAGUAAUAUUUUUUGGUACUGUUGUAUUUUACCUCCACUUGGCCUAGCUUGUUGCAUUCAUAUAUCCUUCACCUAUCGAUAGGUCUCCACUUUCUUUGUCAUUUCAAGCAAUUAUAACCCAAGCACUAACUGUCUCCACCACUCCUUGUGGAUAGGUCUCCCCUAUCUUAUUUUGCCACUUUUCUUGUUGGGCCAUUCAUGCUAGUUAGGCUUUAAUUAUGGCCCAGGCUGGCCCAACUCUGAAGAUGCAGAGUAUAGUGUCACGGACUUAGUCGUUCACUAAGCUCGUGCGGCACUUAGGCAAGUCAAGACGCUUGAUCUUGCUAAGUCAGCCUUGCUCCCCAAUGAUUAGCUUGCUAGGCUAAGACAUUCGCGACUCAAAAGCUUAAGAAGCUUAGUAGGCAACUCUUUAAAGAAUGGAAGCUCUUAUUAACUCAAUGAAGCCUUUACAAGUGCUUGAAAGCUCACUUGCUUAGUGCCUUGGCCAAAUGGGGCCCUCACCUAUUUAUAGGCACCAAUGGAACUCUCUGGAACCUUGGAGGGUUCCUUACAACUCAAGUAUAUUCUAAAAUGUCCUACAUCAUUCUAGGUAUAAACUAGUGACAAUAGUCUUAGAUAGGCCUGUUACUUCUAUUUAUGGGGAUACCCACAUAGAUGAUUAUAAAUAUAUAUAUAUAUAUCUAUUUAAAAAGGGACAAUCUUAUAUUAUUAUAAUAUAUUGCAAUUUUAUUAUCCAUUAUCAUAGUAUAUUAUUAUUUAGUAUUUAUUAACAUAUAUUAUAUUUGAUAUAUUUAUUUAUAAAUAUUAUUUAUUGAUGAAUAUCAAAUUUUGAACUAAAUUAUUGAUAUGUUAUGGAGAUAGCAAAUUUUUAUAGAAAAUACUUGGAGCCACCACUUAUUUUUGUUUUAUUUUUUAUAUACAAAUAAUUUUUAAAAAAAUAACUUUAUUUGCAAAAGAAUUUUUAAUUAAAAAAAAAGACUUAUAUAGCUUUAUUUACAAAAAUGUUAAAAUUCAAUCCAAUUUUAUUUAAAAAAAAUGAUUUCUACAACUUUAAUUUACAAAAAUAACUCUCAUCCUAUUCUCAUUAAAAAUAUAUAUAUUUAAAUCCUUUAUUUCUAAAAUUUACUUUUAAUCACAUUUUAUUUAAGGAAAAAUAAUUUAUUUAAAAAAACAAUUUUUGCACAAUUUUAUAAAAAUUUAAUCUUUGGGAGAACUUUAUUUACAAAACGAUUUUCAAACAAUCAUUAUUAAAAACAUUUUUUUUGGUAUAAAAAUUUUAUUAAAAACAAUUUUCUAGAUUUUCCUAAAAACACUUUUCUAAAUUUUUAUUAAGAAAACUUACUUUUAUUAAAAAGAAUAUUUUUUGAACUAUUAUUUUAUUAAAAUCUGUUCAUUGAAUUGUUUCUCUUAUUUGAACAAAAUUUCUAAUUUGUUCGAUAUUCAAUUCUGUACACAAUGAGUAAAUAUAUAUAAAUUAAUAUUUACAGAAACCAAUAAAAAUAAAUCAAAUAUUAGUGAGAAAUAAAAUGUGUAGCCCAAUAAGCUUAUAACAAGUUCAAUGCUUCAUUUAUAGCUUUUCAAGUCUCAUUUUUUUUUCAUGAAAUUUCAUUCUCCAUGUGUCAUAAAUUCAUAAUCAGCCAACAGAAUUGCAGAAUGGGUUUAUGCAAAAACAAAAAUAGUUCAAAUGUAAAUAUCUAGAAAUGUACAAAAUUCAAAGUAAAUAUUCAAGCACAAAUUCAAACUUCAAAUUAGUCCAAUAAAUUUUAUUAAUUAAAAAUGGGUCUAAAUUAGUAAAUUUAACCCAACAAAAAUAUCUCACAUGCCAUAAGCCAUAGUCCAAAAUUUUUGAAUUAAUAACCAAAAAUACAAGCACAAUCAUAAGCCCAAAAUAUGAUAAAUUAAAAUAACUUUCUCUAGGCCUAAAUUUACUAUCCCCAAAUUCAAGUUCAAUUUAAUAUACAAACCCAAAUUUACAACCAAAAUCAAGCACAAUUUAAUAUGAAAACCCACAUCCAAAGUAUACCAUAAUUGUCUCAUGCCAAAUUAAAUAAUUAAAAUGAGCAUAAAUUAUCAACUAAUCUAGCCCAAAUUAGCAAAUUCCAAAUUAAUUCACUAACAAUAAAUUAGCCCAAAUUUCAUAUUAAUUCACCAAAGUUCAAAAUAUAACAAAUCAAAAUAAAUACAAUUGGGCCUAAAUUUAAUAUUUCAUACUUCAAGCCUAAUUUAAUACACAAACACAAAUCCACAACUAAAAUCAAACCAAAUUUAAUAUAUAGAGCCCACAUGUAAUAAAAAGAAAAUCAAUCAAUUUAAUUAAGUCUAAAUAUGUCAAAACAAAAUAAAUCCAAUUAUCACUAAAUCCAAAUAAAACAUAACUUAAUGAACCCGGAUUAGAGACCCAAAUCAAAAUACAAGGUUUGAAAUAUACCCAACCUAUCCAAACUUAACCCAAAGCUUACAAACAAUAUCUCAAUCAAGUAAAUGUAAGCCCAAACAAACAAUCUCAAUAAUCAAUAAUAAAUUACUAUAAAAAAUAAAUAGAAAUAAUAAUAAAAAUAAAAUAAGAAAUAAACUUACCUAAAUUGGAAGAAAAUGGUGAUAUGUGAGAUGGGUGGAAGGGGGAUCGCUGGAGUGGCGUUGUCGCCUGGUGGACAAUGCUAUAGGUGACAACGAGCUUUGAUGGGUUUAUGGGUGAGGCAAGAAAUGGGUAUGAAGGAAAGAGGAAAGGAAGAAAAAAUGAAAGAAAAGAAAGGGAAAUUGGAGAGGCCAUGUGGGUAUGAGGUGUGGUGUGGCAAUGUGAGGGAAAGGAGGAACUAGAGAUGGAAAACAAAUUGGGGGGGGGCACCUCAUACCCACAUGGCCUCUCCAAUUUCCCUUUCUUUUCUUUCAUUUUUUCUUCCUUUCCUCUUUCCUUCAUACCCAUUUCUUGCCUCACCCAUAAACCCAUCAAAGCUCGUUGUCACCUAUAGCAUUGUCCACCAGGCGACAACGCCACUCUAGCGAUCCCCCUUCCACCCAUCUCACAUAUCACCAUUUUCUUCCAAUUAAGGUAAGNNNNNNNNNNNNNNNNNNNNNNNNNNNNNNNNNNNNNNNNNNNNNNNNNNNNNNNNNNNNNNNNNNNNNNNNNNNNNNNNNNNNNNNNNNNNNNNNNNNNGCAUGAAAGCAGACCCAGUUGCGUACCCCAACCAUGUCACUUUUCGUUUCGUGUUCAAGCGCUAUGCAGCGGCGCAUCUAGUUGAAGAAGCGAUGAAUGCUUAUUAUAGAACUGAGGAGUUUAAUCUGAGGGAUGAAACUUCGUAUUCGAAUUGAUUGACGCGCUUUGUGAGUAUAAGCAUGUAAUAGAAGCUGAAGAAUUGUUCCUAAAAGAGAGCAAAGACUUGGUUUUUAACGAUGAUGUGAAAAUUUAUAACAUUAUUCUUCGUGGGUGGUUCAAAAUGGGGUGGUGGAAGAAGUGUAGGGAGUUUUGGGAAGAGAUGGAUAGGAGAGGUGUUUGUAAAAGUCUAUAUUCUUAUUCGAUAUAUAUGGAUAUACAGUGCAAGAGUGGGAAGCCAUGGAGGGCCGUGAAAUUGUAUAAGGAGAUGAAGAAGAAGGGAAUUAGGCUGGAUGUUGUGGCGUAUAACACGGUCAUUCGUGCCAUUGGUCUUUCCGAGGGUGUCGAUUUUUCAAUUCGGGUAUUUCGCGAGAUGAAAGAGGUGGGUUGUGAGCCCAAUGUUGUGACUUACAAUACAAUUAUCAAGCUGUUGUGUGAAAAUGGGAGAAUUAGAGAAGCCUAUGGGGUUUGGGGGGGGGGGGGGAAGAAAGAGAAGUGGGUAGCUUAAAGAAGAAAAAAAUAAAAUAAAAUAGAAUAAAUGGGGGUAAAAGGAGAUAGGGGUUAGUGGUCUUGGGAAUGAGGUGGUAUUGGAGAAGAGAGAAAAAUGGAGAGUAGGUAGAGUAGGUGAGGUAAAAAGGAAAAGGAGAAAAAAUAAAAUAAAAAAGUAAAAUAAUAAAAAAUAAAAAUAAAAUAAUAAAAAUUAAGAUUUUAACAGUAUAAAUGGGCCAAAAAAAAAAAAAAUCAAAUGUAAUCGAGUUUGAAAUCUAAAGAUAAAAUUAAGCUCAAAAUCAAUGUAAAAAUAAAAUUGAGACAAAUUUUAAGGUCUAUAAAUAUGCCCCUCUUCGGUAGAGUCUACGAGUAAAGUAAGUGUACACACAAAUAAAACGAAGUGGGCUCUACUGAAAAACAAGAAAGCCUACCAAAAUUUGUCCCAGUAUGACACGGGCUCUCUCAAUUACAAACACAAAUACACAACUAAAAUCAAACCAAAUUUAAUAUGUAGAGCCCACAUGUAAUAAAAAAAAACCAAUAAAUUUAAUUAAGUCCAAAUAUGUCAAAACAAAAUAAAUCCAAUUAUCACUAAAUCCAAAUAAAACAUAAAUUAACCAACCCGGAUUAGAGACCCAAAUCAAAAUACAAGGUUUAAAAUAUACUCAACCUAUCCAAACUUAACCCAAAGCUUACAAACAAUAUCCCAAUAAAGUAAAUGUAAGCCCAAACAAACAAUCUCAAUAAUCAAUAAUAAAUUACUGUAAAAAUUAAAUAGAAAUAAUAAUAAAAAUAAAAUAAGAAAUAAACUUACCUAAAUUGGUAGAAAAUGGUGAAAUAUGAGAUGACUGGAAGGGGGAUUGCCGGAGUGGCAUCGUCGACUAGUAGUGGCAUCAUCAACUAGUGGACGAUGCUAUAGGUAGUGACGAGCUUUGAUGAGUUUAUGGGUGAGGUAAGAAAUGGGUAUGAGGGGAAGAGGAAAGGA
Molecule: long non-coding RNA, 44259 nt
Filed under: Vitis vinifera (wine grape)
Lineage: Eukaryota; Viridiplantae; Streptophyta; Magnoliopsida; Vitales; Vitaceae
Description: long non-coding RNA (VVIN_LNC004913)
Source: RNAcentral